RNAcentral lists this long non-coding RNA (57786 nucleotides) under Setaria italica (foxtail millet). Its description in RNAcentral is "long non-coding RNA (SITA_LNC006135)". The record is from RNAcentral. Lineage: Eukaryota; Viridiplantae; Streptophyta; Magnoliopsida; Poales; Poaceae.
UGGAAAUGUGGAUUACAACACUACCAUCUUAUUUUACUUCCAGAAAUUUAGAAAUCUCAUCGGAAAUAUCUCACUACAAGAGACGUCAGCUAGCCUAAUUACUUCCACAUGGUUCACGAAUAUUUCAACUCAAAACAUCACAAAAAGGAAAUACAAGAACCUGCCAAGUCAAUACUGCCAACAAAGUAUUCAAGAUAGCAUCAUUAAGAUCAAACAAGAUAUUCAAGAUAGCAAGAUUAAGAUCAAACAAGCAAGCUUGCAAUUAACCUCUCCCCAACUAGAGACACCACGCCCAAUUGAUUCCAAGCUAACUGAAUAAGUCCAUAACAGACGGUACAUGCUACUUGCUACCUCAAGGUUCAUCAAUGGUUUCAGACUGCCUCAAACUGGCUUCAAACACCUCAAUCUCAUUCUGUUCAGAUGCAGCGGUUUCAGGGAGAGCUCCUCCUGUCACUCCUUCUGCCAACUUUCGCAACACCACCAGCAACACCGCCACGCGAUUCAACUAGAUAGGUCAUCUUCGUAACCAGUGGAAUUGAGGGGGUGUUUGGACGCAGGGUACUAAACUUUAGGAGGGGUCACAUCGGAUGUUCGGACGCUAAUUAGGACGACUAAACAUGAGCUAAUUAUAAAACUAACUGCAGAACCCCUAUACUAAUUCGCGAGACGAAUCUAUUAAGCCUAAUUAAUCCAUCAUUAGCAAAUGGUUACGGUAGCACCACAUUGUCAAAUCAUGGAGUAAUUAGGCUUAAUAGAUUCGUCUCGUGAAUUAGACUCCAUCUGUGUAAUUAGUUUUAUAAUUAGACUAUAUUUAAUACUCCUAACUAGUAUCCAAACAUCCGAUGUGACAGGUACUAAAGUUUAUGAACCUGUAUCCAAACAGGCCCUGAGAAAGGCGGAUCGUCGAUGAUCUUUCGCAUUUCAGAAACCCAUGGGUUGCCCGUGCUGCUGUCCACACUGAUGUCGAUGGCAAAUAGUAUACCCAGGAUAGUAAGGGCAUAGAGCUUGCCCUGAUGGAAUGCCAUGUCAACAAAGUAUGGAUAAUUGUUUUCCACGCUUACGGACCACCAGGAGUUGGUCCCUGGUUGCGAUCCGUUUGGUUUUCCUAAGCGAAACUAAUGCUGCAAUGAGGUGGGGUGAGCAAAACAUUAGUUUCCACCUCCUCGGCUCCUCCAAAAUCAACCGACGAUGAGACUUUCGCAGCCAUGCUAGGUUGCCUCAUCAAUGGACUCAUCGCCCACGUAGCAGAUUCGGUCACGGGACAAAGCAGGAAGUGGCACCGUGGCAUUGGAGAAAGGAUCCCGCAGGAAGCAGCCAUCCUCGCCUGAGAACACUAACCAGUUGCCACAAGCGUCCGUGUUGCCACUCGGGGCACACGGUGGCGAACCGGAGGCGGUCGACGUGAGCAGGCAGCGGCGGAGGAUCCGGCCGGCGAGAUCCAGCGGGAUGUCCGACCACGAGGGCCCCCUCGUCUUCGCCAUUGAUUGAGCCGACCUUGCAAAUGCAACUAAGAAAGCAUCAGCUAGGAAACACCGUGCAUCAAGAAACCGGAGGAAAAACGCGAGCACAUGGCCGGCGCGAGUGCGUGCGGACGCACAGGCAAUGCGUCGAACACCUUGCGUGCGCGACCCACGGCGAGGGCAAGAUGAACAAAGGGGGACAGGAGCGGCGAGUGCAGGGCAAGGAAUGGAGGCGGAUUACCUGAAAUCGGCGAUUCGCGGCGGCGGAUUCGUGUUCUUGCUGCUGCUGUUCGGGCGGAGGUGAGGCGGGGGUGGGGGCGGCGGGCGGCCGCCGGCCGAGCUGGGGUAGGCAGUUUUAGGAAGAGACUGGAGAGUGGAGUGCUUUCGAGUGGGGUUGAGUGGUUGACUUACCGCUAUAAACUGGCUGACCCUGCAUAAGAGUUGUAUGGAGUGUUACAUUGUACAGCCAUACCAAAUUUCAAGUGCGAAUAAUUUUUUUAAAAAACAAAUUAAAUGUGAUUUUUUUGCUAUAGUGGUAUUGCACACGAAUUUUGUGAUUUUUUGAUCUUCGUAGAUGGAAUCAGAUUUGAAAUUGAAAUUUUGAUUGGAUUCGGAUCAUAACCUCAUAUACCUUUCAUGAAUUUCCAAUGUUUCUUUGAACUUCUAAGCAGUGUUUCUACUGAAAUUUCACCAUCACUAGACAUGGUUCGGACAGGUAGAGAGGUCGAAUAAACAGACGAAACAAGCAGCCUUGAAUUCGUCUUUUCAAUUUCCCCCCUCCAGAGAUGGUACUAUAGGGUCUGAAACUUGGUAGUGUUCUCUGGGGAUGCCUGCUCCCGUGGCCAUGAAAUUUCUAGGUUUUUUGGGCAUCUGUUCCGGCGACGAAUGGGGAUUCUUCCAUGUUCCGUCCAUGCUGUUUGGUCAGUGAUCUGAGCGCAGCCUGAUGCUUUGGUGGUUCAACAACUGCUGCUCGCGCUAUUGUGAACUCAGGAGAAGUCAAGCCAGCAUGCCGGCCGACUUUUGCUCUGCAUGCAUUUCUCUUCUCCUUGUUCCGGUCAUGGUGCAAAAUGAACUGCAGAGAAAGCAAGGCACAUGUCCAACUGCCAGUGAACUGGCUGCUAUCCUGCAGCUCAACCACAACCACGGCCGAUAUUGCCACAUAUCUGAAUGUGUGCAUGAUAUUGCCAGUGAAUGCCGUCUUUCAGUUUCAGAGAUNNNNNNNNNNNNNNNNNNNNNNNNNNNNNNNNNNNNNNNNNNNNNNNNNNNNNNNNNNNNNNNNNNNNNNNNNNNNNNNNNNNNNNNNNNNNNNNNNNNNGGACGAAAAAUAGUUGCCUAUGAAAAAUUCAGAGAACAUAGAAUAAAGGAGUACAGGCGCACUGCGCAUGAUUACAUGCAUCAUGAAAUCAACAGACAUAUAACUCACAGGUAGCAAAUUCAUGUUCAUCAGUUCAUGUCCCAUGAAGCUGUGGAUUACAACACUAAUAAUCUUCUUUGUUCACUUCCAGAAAAUUGAAAAUCUCAACAAGAACAUUCAAUACAAGAGACGUCAGUUAGCCUUGGUUGACAUGGAUCACCGAUGUUCCACCCCAAAACAUCAUCAUCAGAGGAAAUAUAAGAACUUCUCAAGUAAAUACUGCCAACAAAAUAUUCAAGAUAACAAGGGUUAAGAUCAAACAAGCAAGCUUGCAACAUCACCAGCUAGAGACACCACGAAAUUCAAAGCUAAGUCUAACAGCAUAGGUCCGUACCACACCACACACUACGAGAUACAGUAGCUUUGCCGAGUGCCCCUAGCACUCGGCAAAACCCCAAAAAUACUCGGCAAAGGCUUUGCCGAGUAUAACACUCGGCAAAUAUCACACGGUAUUAAUUUUAUCAGCAAAGAGCUCUUUGCCGAGUAUUUUUUAUUGGGCACUCGGCAAAGUCUUUGCCGAGUGCUAAAUCGACUCUCGGCAAAAAAAAAAGUUACGGGGAUGGCGAGGAGACGGUGACGGCGGCUUACCGAGUGUCAUUGUAAAAACACUCGGCGAAGCUCAAAGCUUUGUGAGUGUCAUAGAAAAAACACUCAGCAAACAUUUCGUCCCAGUCCAGAAUUUGGCCUUUUUGCCGAGUAUCACUGGGGCACUCGGCAAAGGGACCAAAUUCUGGCAAGAAUGGACAGAAUUUUGCCACGUGGCACCUUUGCCAAGUGCUUUUACCCUAGCACUCGGCAAAGUCACCCUAUGCCGAGUGUAACUGUGGCGGAACCACCUCGGAUUAGCUUGAUUAAGCAGGGUUGGGCCGCCUAACAUGCGACACUCCUGCCUAAACCGAGUUAAUACGAAGUGCCGUCGGAUUUCAUCCGAUUUAACCACUUAAACAGGAUCGCGUUCAGCAAACCCACCCGAAGGUGAGCGGUUACAGAGAAUACAACAAGUCCACUGAGUUUAAACAGUCUUACUCAAGAGUUUGGUCAUAAAAUUUUAACAUCAGAGUUUUAACAAAAGACAACAGGAAACACUAGCGGAAGACUUCGUCGGGGUCGGACGUCCGGGCGAGGCCAGCCAGAACAUCACUGAGUCCUCUCCUCGCCGUCCGAGGAGGGGUCCCACUCGACCGUCCAGCCUGGCAGGAGCUGGGGCGGCCAAGCACCAACAAGAGAGGGGUCGGGAACUGCAACUUCACCUGAAAAACAGGAGCCACAACAAGGCUGAGCUACUAAGCUCAACAAGACUUAACCGGGGAGGAGCCAACUACUCUCCCAACUAGACAUGCAGGGCUUCUUGGCUGAGGGGUUUGUCUUGCCAAAAGCACUAAGUAACCUAUCUUCAAGUUUUAGCUCCGGUUCUAGAUUUACUUACCAGUCUAGGUUGUGCAACCUAUUCUAAGCAAACAUCGAGCCAAACAUGUGUUUAUAUAAAGCAACAUCAUUGCCAUCAUCAGAUUCCUCGAUUACUCAGGGUGACAUAGCGAUCAAGCAAUCUCAAACUGUGAGAGGCAGACGGAUCGAUUCGAGUUCUUUAACCAUGCAUGGUGAAACUAGCCCCACGACAUCCGCGCACCCGGAGGUCGCUUCCUGUGUCGGCCUUCCCCAUCGAUCCCCUAACCCGUGUCGGGCCCAUUUCCUUUGGUGCAAGGUUCCACAGACCCGGCCUCUGCCGUCCUGUGACCACGCUUUGCCACCACGUGCGACAACCAGCAGGGGAAACUCCGUUCCAAGAACAAUGGGGCGACCGCUCACGUCUAGGUUCAAUCAGGUACUAGGCUUCCUCAUCCCAUACUAAGUAUGAGGCUAGUACUUUCAAACACUUGAUCACGAACACCACCAUUGUCGGGCCUUAUCAAGUUUUCAUAGACAGACGGGGCCAUCAUCCGACCACCAAAGAGUUACCAACCCUGCCCCGUCCAUCGUCCUUAUAGUUGUAACAGGAGAGUAAACAUGCAACUCCUACCACUCGCGAGUGACAGGAGAUCACUCGACUUUUACCGUUUCCUAUUUAAGCAACGCAGCUACUCGGUCCCACAGCUAGUGUUCAGAUCAUGGGUCACUGAGUUAUGCAUCUAGGGUUUCACACAACUCCUAUACGUAAAUGCACAAGAUGCUAUUCGGAAGGCAUGUGCAAGUUUGGCAAACACGUAGGAUUUUCAUGCAACCGGGGCUUGCCUGCAAACAAAGAGGGCGGAAACUGCUCGACGUCGGGGGCGGCUUCGACUUCUGCGGGCGGGAACUCGGCUACAGCUUCUUCUUCGGGCGCCGGGUGCAGCUCGUAGAAGCCGUCAGUGAGGUGCAGCUCUACACGGAUGCAAUGCAAGGGUUAGCUUAACGUUUUGAUGUGACAGCAACACUGGCUCUCCUGAGCCCAGAAACUUGCGACAGAGAGCAGGAGUUGGAGACUGUUUAAGAGAGCUGAUGCUGAUCAACAGGUAAGGGUAGGGAAGAAACGAGUGGUCUGAUCCUUGAACUAGAGGGUGUGAUAACUGGGAUCCUCGGACGUAAGCGCUGAAGGGUUCCCACGUUUUACACUUACACCCUUAAGUUGAAGAAAAAGAUCACAGCCAGACCCUCGGUCGAGGCGGACAAAGGUCGGCAAACAGACAGGGUCGGACGAGACGGAACUGGGGUCGGGUGGGUAGGAGGGGUCGGUCGAGGCGGACUUAGGGUCGGCACUCACCUUCUUCCUGAAAGGAAAGCUUGGGGGUCGGGAAGAGGCAGACUUGGGCAUGGAACUAAAGCUUUGAGCAGGAACUACGGCUGGCGGUGCUCCGGCGGCGGUGCUUCUUGCAGAUCGCAAGAGAGCUCUUGCGCAGCACAAGAGAGCAAGCUGCGGGGUGACUUGGAUGAACUGAAAAGGAACUGGGAGAAGAACUUCUCAAGAUUGGGCGGAUGGCGCUAGGAGCUUGAGCAGGGAGCUAGCGGGAACUAAGGGCAACAAAAGCGGAGGGAACUCCGGCGACGGGCAUUCCUUUUAUAGUUGCGGGAGCAGAGGAACGGAAACGUCGCGGAGAGAGAGAAGGGAAGCGGCGCGAAGGCCGGGGAGAAGCAAUGGAGUGCUCUGCCGUGGCGGCGAUUGAGCAAACCGGGCGGUGCAACAGAACUCCGGGGGUGACGCCAGUGAUCAUUGCGCUACUCCGUCAGGGCGGCAUAGGCGCGGGUAGACCGGUAGUUGAGAUUUGGCGGAAAGCGGGCGUCGCCGUGCGGAAGAGGUGAUAGAAGCGACCGGUUAAACGGCGCUAGGAUCGAGGGCGCACAGGUGGAGAGAACAAACGGACGCGGCGCGGGGGAGAGCGCGGAACAAUAGAUUGUCGGGCGGCGUCUGACAGGGCGGGGAAAGGGACUGUCGCGGCCGCGGUCGGGGUUGGCGGUGGGGGAAUCGUCGUGUAGCGACGACCGGGCGGCGCAACUGUUGCUGGAAAGGACGGAAAAGACGGGCGACAUCGGUCUCCGGGGCCGAGAUCUGGUAUCGUGAUGAUGGGUGCGGGGAGCGAGGCUCUGCAGAAAGGGGUGCAGAGGGCUUCCGCUGCUAUUGGGGGAAGAGGGCGCGGGAACCCACUCGGUCGCGUGCCAGGGACAAAACUGAGCGGUGGCGUCGGAGAAGACGAGCCACGCGGCAGGAAGGCUCUGAGGCAGCCAUGCAACUCGAUGUUGGAGGUAUGCCCUAGAGGCAAUCAUAGAGAUGAUGAUAUUCCAUUUGUAUCCAUGAUUUGUAUAUUGUGUUCAUUGAAUAUCCAUUAAAGGCUACUUGAAUUGAUUUGCAAUUAUGUGAAUUGUAUGUGAAACUCUUUACUUGUAUGGUUAUUCUAAAGUUGUCCCUAGUCGGAGUUCAUGUGAGGACACACAUGAAUAUUAGACUAGCACAUGUAUUAGUUGAUGACUAUGUUUCACAAGUCAUGGACAUGGAGAUGUUGAACUAAUAAUGUGGACACAUGUGGAGACAUGUGUUAGGACUGACCCAACACGAGAAGUAGUUCUCUCUUUAAACAACAUAUACGCUUUGUCCUUAGACCUGAGAUUGUCGCAUGUAUUCUAGAUGUGGAUCGACCUACUUAGGGGCUAUCAAACGCUACGCCGUAACAGGGUAGUUAUAAAGGUAGCUUUCGGGUUUGUCAAGAAGCAUGCUAUGAGACAUGGUCAAUCAAGAUGGGAUUUGCCCCUCUCUGAUUGAGAGUGAUAUCUCUGGGCCCCUCGAGUGAUCGGAUCCGAAAAUGCAUGGCCAUGCUACGUACGGUUAAGAGUUAACCUACAAAGGGAUUCCGAAUCACAGGAUCGAGAAAGAGCGGUCGGCUUGAAGCUAGACCAAAUAUCGUGAGGCAAAGGGAAUAGCAUGUAUAUUAUGUUGUGAUGGUUCGUCUGAUAUGAUCUUCGUAUGCGUAUAGGAGUUGGCACGUCUUGCUAGAGGCCGCUACCGACUAUUGGGCCGAGUAGGAGUACUCGGGCCAUGUCUAUACGUAUCCGAACCCAUAGGGUCACACACUUAAGGGGCUGGAAGCCCAAUUUGGAUCUGAUCCGAGUUGGAUUAGGUUUAGGAGUACUAAUGGGCCUCGGAUCCAGAGGCCCAUCAGGAACCCCUAUAAAUAGAGGGGUGGGGGCGCCCUAGGGUUUUACACCUUUUGGCUGAACAGACUUGCCGCGCCUCCCACGCCCUCGCCUGUUGCAACUCGCGGAUCUAGUAGUCCGGCUUGCGACGCUUCCUCCCUGAACGUGUGGAUACCUUGGAGGUGUUGCGCCUGCAGCACUUGGACGAGCCAUAGACGAGCCGCCGACGAGCCACGACGAGCCGACGACGAGCCACGGCACCGGAGGCGAUCUUGCUGUGCACGUGGACGAGCUGCUGAGGAGCUGCUGGACGUGAUCGACUACGUACGACUACGUUGAUCGACUACGUACGACUACGUGAUCGUCUUCACUACACCGACGCAUAUCUACAUCUUCCGCACCAGUAGUGCGUCGAGUGGUAAUCCCGUGAUCCUUAUAUGGCAGUUCUUCCUGGUUAUACGCGGUAGAAAUUUUGAUUUGCGCUAGCGUAGCCUACCUCGUAUCCCAACACUCGAGUGCGGCUGGUGCGGGGGAUCUGGAAAAGAUCUCGCGGGUCCACCGGGGGAAAAGAUCUGACGGUUGAGGAAGAUUAACAGGAUCCGACGGAUGGCUGAACUCGCUGGGGUCGGGAAAAAGGAACGAAGCGGUCGGGGUCGGAUCUCAGGGGUCGGAACCGGCGGAAAACUGUGCACUUAAGUGCGAUCGUCAGAACAACUGAUGGAGGUUUAAGGGCCGAGAUCAAACCUAACUGGGAAAGAUUAGGGGUCGGUCGUUACAGCCUACCCCUCUUAAAAGGAAUCUCGUCCCGAGAUUCAAGACCAAGGGUGUGCUGCUCUUACCUCCUGGAUGAGAUAGAAAACCUGGAAAACGCUUGUUCAGAUAUUCUUCCGUCUCCCAUGUUGCUUCGUCUUCGGUGUGAUUUCUCUAGAGGAUCUUGUACAUCUUUACCAUGUGGCGUCGGGUGUGCCUUUCCUUCUGGUCAAGGACUCGAUCUGGGUACUCGGUGUAGGUCAGGUCAGGUUCUACUUGAAGCUGUUCUUGUUCUAGGAUUUCUGCUGGAACUCGGACACAUUUCUUCAACUGAGACACAUGGAAAACAUUAUGUAAGGCUGACAGCUGCUCUGGAAGUUGGAUUCUGUAAGCGACGGGUCCACAGAUCUCCACAAUCUCAUAAGGGCCGAUGUAACGGGGAGCUAACUUGCCCUUUAUUCCAAAACGUUGCACUCCUUUGGUUGGGGAGACUCUAAGGUACACAUGGUCACCAAGGUUGAACUGCAGGGGUCUUCUCCGUUGGUCAGAGUAACUCUUCUGUCGAGAUUGGGCAGUCUUGAGAUUGGCCUGAAUUACUCUUACUUGCUCUUCGGCCUCUGCCACUAAGUCGGGGCCAUAAACCUAUCUUUCUCCUGGUUGGGACCAGUUCAAGGGUGUUUGGCAUCUUCGGCCGUACAGGGCCUCAAACGGUGCCAUCUUCAAACUGGCUUGGUAGCUGUUAUUGUAGGAGAACUCUGCUAAGGGCAGGCACUUGUCCCAGUUCUUGUCAUAGUGAAUGACACAAGGUCUUAACAUGUCUUCAAGGAUUUGGUUGACUCUCUCGGUUUGGCCAUCGGUUUGGGGAUGGUAUGUUGAGCUUCGAAUGAGCUUGGUGCCCAUAGAUGUUUGUAGUUGCUCCCAAAAUCGUGCCACAAACUGAACUCCUCUGUCUGAGACUAUGGUCUUGGGUACACCGUGUAGAGAAACGAUACGGUCGAGGUAUAACUCUGCAUAUUGCUUGACUGUGUAGGUGGUACGAACAGGCAAGAAGUGUGCUGUCUUGGUCAGACGGUCCACUAUAACUCAGAUAGAAUCAGACCGUUGAGUCGUAAGGGGUAACCCAACUAUGAAAUCCAUGCUGAUGUCUUCCCAUUUCCAAGAGGGAAUAGGUAGCGGCUGCAAGGUUCCUGCUACCUUCAAGUGACUGGCCUUGACACGUCGACAAGUGUCGCAUUCUGAAACAUAACGAGCUAUCUCCGGUUUCAUCCCACUCCACCAAAAGGUUUGACGAAGAUCAUGGUACAUCUUGUUGCUGCCAGGGUGGAUGGAGAACUUAGAAAGAUGAGCUUCAUCGAGGAUUUGCCUCCUUAACUCGGGGUCGGCGGGCACUACUAGCCGGUUUCCAUAGUACACACCUCUUGUUUGGUCCUGCCGGAAAAGUUUAUACCCUUCGUCCUUUACCGAGAUCUUACUGAUGAUCCGUUUCACUUCUUCAUCCUUUGUUUGUGCUGAUCGAAUCCGGUCUUCCAAAACUGAGUCAAGGGUGAGGUGAUCAAGGGUUCCAUGGGGAACAAACUCUAGACUUAGUUUUCCCAUCUCGUGACACAAGGUGUCGGUGAAGGCUGCUGACAACAAGCAGUUGCAACGGGGUUUUCGACUGAGGGCAUCGGCCACUACAUUGGCCUUGCCAGGAUGAUAGUGCACGUCCAAGUCAUAAUCCUUUAUUAACUCCAGCCAUCUUCUCUGACGCAUGUUGAGGUCGGCUUGCGUGAAGAUGUACUUGAGGCUCUUGUGGUCGGUGUAGAUGUUGCAGUGAGCUCCCAUUAAGUAGUGCCUCCAUCUUCAAGGCAUGUAUCACUGCUGCCAACUCGAGGUCAUGGGUCGGGUAGCUCAGCUCAUGAGGUCGCAACGCACAUGAGGCAUAGGCAAUGACUUGGCUGUCUUGCAUAAGAACACAUCCGAGCCCAGUGCCAGAGGCGUCACAGUAUACGUCAUACGACCUAGAGGGGUCGGGUUGAGCCAAAACUGGGGCGAUGGUUAACAAGUGCUUCAAGGUUUUGAAGGCUUCUUCACAUUUGGUGUCCCACACAAACUUGGCCUCUUUCUUCAACAACUCGGUCAUCGGCUUAGCUAUCUUGGAGAAAUCCGGUAUAAAACGCCGAUAGUAUCCUGCCAGUCCGAGGAAACUCCGGAUCUGGUGUACCGAGACAGGAGACUUCCAUUCCAUGACCUCUUGCACCUUACUGGGAUCUACGGCAAUACCGUCCUUGGAGAUAGUAUGUCCCAAAAACUUGACACUAUCCAACCAAAACUCACACUUGGAGAAUUUUGCAUACAGCUGGUGAUCUCUCAGUCGCUGAAGAACUAUGUGAAGAUGGUGGGCAUGCUCUUCCUUGUCCUUGGAGUACACUAGGAUAUCAUCAAUGAACACCACUACAAACUUGUCCAGCUCGGGCAUGAACACCGAGUUCAUAAGGUACAUGAAGUAAGCGGGUGCAUUGGUGAGUCCAAAGGACAUGACUAGGUACUCAUACAACCCAUAUCUGGUAGAGAAAGCUGUCUUGGGCACAUCGUAAGGUCGAAUCCUGAUUUGGUGAUAACCAGAUCGAAGAUCGAUCUUGGAGAACACUUUUUCUCCGGCUAACUGGUCGAACAAAACAUCAAUGCGGGGCAGUGGGUACUUGUUCUUGACUGUUACCGCAUUGAGGGGUCGGUAAUCCACACACAUCCGUAAACUGCCGUCUUUCUUCUUCACAAACAGGGCGGGGCAUCCCCAAGAUGACGUACUGGGUCGAAUGAAACCCUUUCUCAACAGAUCAUGCAACUGGGUCUUCAACUCUGCUAACUCAGCGGGUGGCAUCCGGUAAGGUCUCUUAGAUAUUGGAGCUGUGCCAGGAACUAACUCGAUAGAAAACUCCACUUCUCUGUCAGGUGGCAUGCCUGGCAAGUCCGUCGGAAACACAUCUGGGUACUCACAGACCACAGGGAGGUCUUCUAUACGGGUUCCCAAGAGAGAAAAAGCACAAGGGUUCCAGGACUCAGGGUGGGUCAAGGAUAGGAUAGCACUGCCAUGAGAGGGCGAGCUGAUGGAAAGAGAUCGGGCUGAGGUAUCUAAAACAACAUGAUGUCGGGUCAUCCAAUCCAUGCCAAGGAUGAUGUCUAGGCCUUCGAGGUCAAGGAUGAUAAGGUUUUCCUUGAAGAGGGUGGGGCCUAGCUGGAGAGGUACCAGAAUAAUGACCUGAUCCGACGUUAUCCUUCCUCCAGGAGUGGCGAUCACAUAGGGUUCCUUAGUGUGACCUACACUUAGCCCGCAUCUUUCCCUUGCCUUACUCCCGAUAAAGCUAUGGGAGGCUCCCGAAUCAAACAACACCACAACAGCUUGUUUUAAAACAAGAAAAGUACCCGUCAUUACUGACGCACCUUCGGGAAGUUCGGUCAGGCUGGUGUAGUUGAGUCGGUCUUGUCGGACUUGCACCUUGGGCCUUCUUCCUCUGGCUGCCAUGGGGUUCUGGCCUUGCUGUUGAGUCUUGCUCCUGGGGCAGUCCCUUGCAAAAUGUCCCUCGUUGCCGCAGGUAAAACAUCUGUUACUGGCUGCAGGACGAGGUGGCGUUGGUAAGGUCGGCCGGGGUACUUGUGGUUGGAAGCCUGGAGAACUGGGCAUUGUUGCCAGCGGGGGUCGGGCGAUCCAUUUCCCUGACGGUUGGGGUCGGCCAGGGGCUUGCGGAGGGAUCAUCCGAAACCUUCGGGCUGGCGGGCUCGGAAGAGCCACAGAGGCUUUCCUCUUCUGGUCGGCCUUGAGAGCUUGCAUGCAAUCUUCCUGGGAGAUGGCCAGAUUGACCAACUCGUUAUAAGUGUCCACCCAGAUGGGGUUCAGCCUCUCCCUGAGCUCCAAGCUCAGUCCUCGGCGGAAUCUAUCCCACUUCUUCUCAUCGGUAUCCGCGUGAUAUCCCGCAUAACGGCACAGGUCGUUAAACGCCUGGGCGUAGUGCAGCACAUCCCUAGUUCCUUGGGUGAGGGCCAGAAACUCGUUGAGCUUUCGCUCCAGGAGACCUUCAGGAAUGUGAUGCGCCUUGAACACCAUCUUAAACUCGUCCCAACUGACCACGUGGCCAGCAGGUAGCAUGGCAUGGUAGUGGUCCCACCAAAGCCGUGCGGAACCACGCAGCUGCUGAGCUGCGAACCGCACCUUAUUGUUGUCAGGGCACGGAGCGGUAAGGAGCUCGAACUUGGAUUCGAUCGUCCGAACCCAUGCAUCAGCAUCAAGCGGUUCCUGGGUCUUUUGGAACAGCGGGGGCUGUGUCCCCAAAAAGUCCUCAUAUCUGCGACAUGCUACUGCUGUGCUCUGCCACCAUGUGGCUGCUGUUGUCCUUGCACCAGAUGCCUGAGCAGCUCGGUUUGAGUUGCUAGGAUUGCCUCCAAUGGCGAUGGUGGCGGGGGCGGGGGAAGAUCCUGGCGCUGGUCACUGUUGCUGGGCAUAGUUCCAGACCUCGUGCGGUGCGCCAUCUGCAAGAGUUAACGCCCCAUUAAUCUCAUAACCUUAGGUGUAUUCCAACGAAUGGGAACGUGUGAAUUAAAUCCCUUAAUGCGACUCUUGCCAAUGGUGCCUCACACGUCCUUAUAGAGGAAGCACAUUCCUCCCAUUUCAUCACAGAUAGCCCCUACUUGCCCUGGUACUCCACCUCAAGUAACCACACCACAUACAGACUCCUAGGGUCGGGUCCACUCGAACCAAGGGGUCGGAUACGGUCCGCACUCUCAGAGGGUCGGACAAGGCGGUGACGGUCUUAAGGGUCGGCGCACUCUGGUUCGCAAACUAGGGUCGGCCAACUGAACAGGCUCCCCGAAAACAACACAGGGUCGGCACCAGUUACUUAGCCUUAGCAUCCACAUCAGACGAAAAGGAUAGAACUGUACACUGCACUGGAUUGACAUUAUACACAAUGUCGUCUCAACUCAGGAAGUACUCAACUCAAGGCUAACCUAUUACAACUUUCCAAAACUAGGCUGCCGAGGAGUACAACAAAAGAAAGAAGGUUCCCUAAGAACCCUUAAACUACCACUGGACACUAUGAGUCGGAGAAGGGACGCCAUCUUCUUCUAUGUCCAUGCUGGACGCUCCCUCGUCUUCCUCAGGGUCCUCCUGAGCUUCAAGUUGCAUGUUGAGGGCAUGCAUGUCUUCAAGCUCAGCUUGGUGCUCCUCUAGGUGGGCAUUGGCAACAGCCAAUUCCAUUUCCACCUCCAUUUUCUCCUCCGAGAGCUCGAUCAUACCGUCCACAAGGUCGGCAACUUCUCCUUCCAGCUCGGAGAUCCGGUCUUGCAUGUCGUGGAUCUGGAUUCCACGUUGGAUCAGCUGGUAGGUUUGGCCUACCAGAUCUCUUCUAGCUGCUUGGAGGUACACGUGGGUGUCCAUAGCAGUCCGAGCAAAGAGUGUCAUGGCCCUUCCUUGGAGCUCGAUCAGCCGGUAGAACGCAGCCAUGCAUCUGACGUUGGUGGAGAUGGUGAGCAUGGCGCAGGUAGCGGCCAACACUUCAAGGUUGUCGAUGCGGUCCAGCCAGGCCGGGUCCAUCCGACUUCUGACAGGAAAAAGACCGAUCGGGUCCAGGGUGAUCUCCACGGGGUGGAACUGACAGAACUGCGUGAGCAACUGGAGAGCAGCGGAUUCCCACGUAUCUUCCGGAGAAAGACCGUAGGCUAUGAUGCCCAGAGAGGGCCAGUCGGGCCGCACAAAAGGGGGUGGCACCAGUGCUUGCACCUGGCACGCCUGGAUGCCUUGCUCCACAUACAGCCGCCCAGAGUAUAGGGGUGGGGACUGAUACCCAAACCAUCUCAACGUAUCCCACAAGAUCGCGGGAAACCCCUCGAAAUGUAGACAGUUUGAUUGGAAGGUACCGUCCGCUCCAAACACCACAUGCCCGAGAGCAGCCAUCUGGAACCAAGAAAACCGAAGCCAUGUGAGAUAACUCCGAAGAUCAGGGGUCGGAUAGAGAAGCAGAAGGGCUUAACCGAGAGCAACUAAGAGGAACUAGAAAUCCUUAGAAGGAACUCUGUCGGACAGGGUUGCUGUUGAGAAGGAACAUUACUGAUUUCUUUAUGACGCAUGCACGGCCUACCGUACUCUUAACCAAAACAACUGCCCGAACCUCGGGUCUUACGCGGUCAGCGCCGGUGACAAGGCAACCAUACGUCUCUCCCUAUAUUAUCUAGUCGGUUCUAGCAACGUCUUAACGAACGCGGUUAGCAACCUGCAGAAAACACACACCCGAACCUUUCGUGCCAGCACCCACGAAAGCGUCCCCAAACAUUACCGUCCACUAUAGGAACGGCACCCAUGCGUUUAAGGCUGCAUGGACAGCACUCAACCGUGGAAAUAGGUUCCUUCCGAAUAGAACCAUAUAACCCUUCGCAUACUCGCGAUGCGGCAUCGGCACACGUAUGAUAGACGUGGCGAAACAACCGUGCCAAUAGGUCCGUUGGAAUCGGACCAUAUCAACCUUCGUAUGGAUCACAUACGGAACCUGCGCACGUAUGAUAGACGUGGGCGAAAACAACCGUGAAGAUAGGGUCCCUUGAAUGGAACUCCCUAUCAACCCUCGCAUACUCAUGAUGCGGAACUCGGCACACGUAUAACAGACAUGGCGAAGUGCUGGAGGAGUUAGCAACAUAACCAGAUACUUAUUAGUCACCUGAAACAACCCCAAAAUCCCCUAAGGCCUCUCGCACUAAGUCAUCCUUAACGCCUGUACGAGAUUUUCGAAGGGUUCUUGCAACUUUUACAUUUCCAAAGAAGUGUUUAGGGCUCCUUGGGUUCUCUGAUAUGCUGAACUCGGCUCUGGUACCAAGCUGUGGCGGAACCACCUCGGAUUAGCUUGAUUAAGCAGGGUUGGGCCGCCUAACAUGCGACACUCCUGCCUAAACCGAGUUAAUACGAAGUGCCGUCGGAUUUCAUCCGAUUUAACCACUUAAACAGGAUCGCGUUCAGCAAACCCACCCGAAGGUGAGCGGUUACAGAGAAUACAACAAGUCCACUGAGUUUAAACAGUCUUACUCAAGAGUUUGGUCAUAAAAUUUUAACAUCAGAGUUUUAACAAAAGACAACAGGAAACACUAGCGGAAGACUUCGUCGGGGUCGGACGUCCGGGCGAGGCCAGCCAGAACAUCACUGAGUCCUCUCCUCGCCGUCCGAGGAGGGGUCCCACUCGACCGUCCAGCCUGGCGGGAGCUGGGGCGGCCAAGCACCAACAAGAGAGGGGUCGGGAACUGCAACUUCACCUGAAAAACAGGAGCCACAACAAGGCUGAGCUACUAAGCUCAACAAGACUUAACCGGGGAGGAGCCAACUACUCUCCCAACUAGACAUGCAGGGCUUCUUGGCUGAGGGGUUUGUCUUGCCAAAAGCACUAAGUAACCUAUCUUCAAGUUUUAGCUCCGGUUCUAGAUUUACUUACCAGUCUAGGUUGUGCAACCUAUUCUAAGCAAACAUCGAGCCAAACAUGUGUUUAUAUAAAGCAACAUCAUUGCCAUCAUCAGAUUCCUCGAUUACUCAGGGUGACAUAGCGAUCAAGCAAUCUCAAACUGUGAGAGGCAGACGGAUCGAUUCGAGUUCUUUAACCAUGCAUGGUGAAACUAGCCCCACGACAUCCGCGCACCCGGAGGUCGCUUCCUGUGUCGGCCUUCCCCAUCGAUCCCCUAACCCGUGUCGGGCCCAUUUCCUUUGGUGCAAGGUUCCACAGACCCGGCCUCUGCCGUCCUGUGACCACGCUUUGCCACCACGUGCGACAACCAGCAGGGGAAACUCCGUUCCAAGAACAAUGGGGCGACCGCUCACGUCUAGGUUCAAUCAGGUACUAGGCUUCCUCAUCCCAUACUAAGUAUGAGGCUAGUACUUUCAAACACUUGAUCACGAACACCACCAUUGUCGGGCCUUAUCAAGUUUUCAUAGACAGACGGGGCCAUCAUCCGACCACCAAAGAGUUACCAACCCUGCCCCGUCCAUCGUCCUUAUAGUUGUAACAGGAGAGUAAACAUGCAACUCCUACCACUCGCGAGUGACAGGAGAUCACUCGACUUUUACCGUUUCCUAUUUAAGCAACGCAGCUACUCGGUCCCACAGCUAGUGUUCAGAUCAUGGGUCACUGAGUUAUGCAUCUAGGGUUUCACACAACUCCUAUACGUAAAUGCACAAGAUGCUAUUCGGAAGGCAUGUGCAAGUUUGGCAAACACGUAGGAUUUUCAUGCAACCGGGGCUUGCCUGCAAACAAAGAGGGCGGAAACUGCUCGACGUCGAGGGCGGCUUCGACUUCUGCGGGCGGGAACUCGGCUACAGCUUCUUCUUCGGGCGCCGGGUGCAGCUCGUAGAAGCCGUCAGUGAGGUGCAGCUCUACACGGAUGCAAUGCAAGGGUUAGCUUAACGUUUUGAUGUGACAGCAACACUGGCUCUCCUGAGCCCAGAAACUUGCGACAGAGAGCAGGAGUUGGAGACUGUUUAAGAGAGCUGAUGCUGAUCAACAGGUAAGGGUAGGGAAGAAACGAGUGGUCUGAUCCUUGAACUAGAGGGUGUGAUAACUGGGAUCCUCGGACGUAAGCGCUGAAGGGUUCCCACGUUUUACACUUACACCCUUAAGUUGAAGAAAAAGAUCACAGCCAGACCCUCGGUCGAGGCGGACAAAGGUCGGCAAACAGACAGGGUCGGACGAGACGGAACUGGGGUCGGGUGGGUAGGAGGGGUCGGUCGAGGCGGACUUAGGGUCGGCACUCACCUUCUUCCUGAAAGGAAAGCUUGGGGGUCGGGAAGAGGCAGACUUGGGCAUGGAACUAAAGCUUUGAGCAGGAACUACGGCUGGCGGUGCUCCGGCGGCGGUGCUUCUUGCAGAUCGCAAGAGAGCUCUUGCGCAGCACAAGAGAGCAAGCUGCGGGGUGACUUGGAUGAACUGAAAAGGAACUGGGAGAAGAACUUCUCAAGAUUGGGCGGAUGGCGCUAGGAGCUUGAGCAGGGAGCUAGCGGGAACUAAGGGCAACAAAAGCGGAGGGAACUCCGGUGACGAGCAUUCCUUUUAUAGCUGCGGGAGCAGAUGAACGGAAACAUCGCGGAGAGAGAGAAGGGAAGCGGCGCGAAGGCCGGGGAGAAGCAAUGGAGUGCUCUGCCGUGGCGGCGAUUGAGCAAACCGGGCGGUGCAACAGAACUCCGGGGGUGAUGCCAGCGAUCAUUGCGCUACUCCGUCAGGGCGGCAUAGGCGCGGGUAGACCGGUAGUUGAGAUUUGGCGGAAAGCGGGCGUCGCCGUGCGGAAGAGGUGAUAGAAGCGACCGGUUAAACGGCGCUAGGAUCGAGGGCGCACAGGUGGAGAGAACAAAUGGACGCGGCGCGGGGGAGAGCGCGGAACAACAGAUUGUCGGGCGGCGUCUGACAGGGCGGGGAAAGGGACUGUCGCGGCCGCGGUCGGGGUUGGCGGUGGGGGAAUCGUCGUGUAGCGACGACCGGGCGGCGCAACUGUUGCUGGAAAGGACGGAAAAGACGGGCGACAUCGGUCUCCGGAGCUGAGAUCUGGUAUCGUGAUGAUGGGCGCGGGGAGCGAGGCUCUGCAGAAAGGGGUGCAGAGGGCUUCCGCUGCUAUUGGGGGAAGAGGGCGCGGGAACCCACUCGGUCGCGUGCCAGAGACAAAACUGAGCGGUGGCGUCGGAGAAGACGAGCCACGCGGCAGGAAGGCUCUGAGGCAGCCAUGCAACUCGAGUGCGGCUGGUGCGGGGGAUCUGGAAAAGAUCUCGCGGGUCCACCGGGGGAAAAGAUCUGACGGUUGAGGAAGAUUAACAGGAUCCGACGGAUGGCUGAACUCGCUGGGGUCGGGAAAAAGGAACGAAGCGGUCGGGGUCGGAUCUCAGGGGUCGGAACCGGCGGAAAACUGUGCACUUAAGUGCGAUCGUCAGAACAACUGAUGGAGGUUUAAGGGCCGAGAUCAAACCUAACUGGGAAAGAUUAGGGGUCGGUCGUUACAGUAACACUCGGCAAAGUGACCAAAUUUUUCCUGUUUUUAUGGUUCGGUCACGUAUAACGGAUACCCCUCAAACAAACAUCACAGACAUCACACAUAUUUCAUAAUAAACAUCACAGGCAGUUCAUUCACAACCACAAAUAGUCACAAGUAAUCCACAAAUGCAACACAACCACAAAUAGUCCUUAGUAAUUCACAAAUGCAACACAACUAAAAUCUUGCCGAGUGUUCACUGAGGCCACAAGCUCCACUGCGACCACGCUGGGUUGUGAGGCUCAUUCGAUCCCACCGAUUGAUUCUGCACAAAGGAGAAGAGAUUGCAUGUGUGAGAAUAGAUUAAACAACACGUACGAUUGCAUUUGUGCUCUAGUAUGAUUGCUUAAGUACUAGUUGGUAACAAGCAUAUAGCAUUAAUCCGUUUAAUUCACAUAUUUCCAUUCUUUGUUUCUAGUUUCUAGUUUCUAGUGUUUGGGCUUCUUUGUAAGAUUGAUUCUUCAUAAAUUAGAAACGGUGAUUAUAAGGUUGUCAAGUGACUCAUAGGAGUAGCUGUAGGAGGUGGAGGUGGAGGAGGAGGGAAUAGGUUCGGUGGCGGAGGAUGACCCAUCCUCUCAAAAACACCCUGCAUAUACUGGAACAUCUGCUCCGCCCUCUGUUCAGCUGCCGCCGCCCUCUGUCGAUCUGCCUCCAUCCUCGCCUCCAUCUCCUCCCGUUGCUUUCUUUCUUCUUCCACCUGGGUCUACAAUAUUUCAUCCUAAUGUUACAAUGCAAAGCAAAAGUAUGUAAAAAUCAACGAAUGAUGUUACAAUGGGCCUACAAUAUUUCUUCCACCUCGGAAAAUGCUAAGGUUCGAUUCAUCUUCGCUAGCAUUGUAACAAGGGGGUGGGUUAUGCACGCUAGGAAGGUUGUCAGCAUAAGUUUUUGUUGUGAAGUUUGACACCUCCUCCAGAAUAUAUGCCUCUGCAAUGGAUGGUUCAAUUUUGUAUUUAAUUUUACAUUUAGUUCAAAGAACCUUUUGACAUCUCUCAAUUGAAUAGCAUCAAUGGCCCUGCACAGGCCCCCCAUUCAUGCCUCAUACAGGAGGUUCAAAAUCAAAUAUUGCAUCGGAUUGAAGAAGUCAGGUGGAAAGAUCUUCUCCAACUUACAGAGCAACAUAAGAGCCAUUCUUUCUAUGUCUGCAACCACGGUACGAGAUAACUCCUUAGCACAAAGCUGGCGGAAGAAAUUGCUCAACUCCGCCAAAACUAGCUAGACAUGCUCAGGGACAUAGCCUUGAAUCAUCACCGGAAGUAGCCGCUCAAGCCAUAUGUGGUAGUCAUGACUUUUGAGCCCAUUGAUUCGCAUAGUAGCUAAGUUCACUCCCCUCUUCAGAUUUGCUGCAUACCCAUCAGGGAACAUUAACAUUUUGAACCGUUCUAGUACUUCCCUCCUUUGGGCCCUCGUCAGGAUGAAAUCGGCCUUAGGCUUUCUCCAUGACUUGCCACCUCUAGGAGGCGCCAUGUCUAGCUUUGGUCUAUUGCAUAACCUUGCUUGAUCCACUCUAGCCUUAACAUUAUUCUUUGUCUUAUCAGGAAUGUCCACGAUUGUACCAAAGAUUGCCUCGCGCGACAUUCUUUUUAGUGUUCAUUACAUCAAUAUUAUGUGGAAGAAGAAGAUCAUCAAAAUAGGAAGGUUCCACAAGCACGACUUCUGAGUCUAGGCAUGUUGCUCACCCUAUCCCAGAAAACCAUCUCCUUGUGCAUUGACCUUGAGAGCAUCUAAUUGAGCACAAACCUCGGCACCAAUCAUCAUUUGCGGUUAGGGUCUCUAACUACGACAUCUUUCGUAAAGUUCUUGAUGUCUCGUCUGAAUGGAUAGUCAAGAGGGAGGAAUUGUCGAUGUUUGUCGAACGAAGAAAACUUGCCACCCUUCAUCAACCAAAUGAACUUCAGAGAUGCCUUGCAUACUGGGCAUGGGAACUUCCUGUGAACACACCAGCCGCAGAAUAUCCCAUACGCCGGCAAGUCAUGGAGGGAGUACUGGUACCAAACAUCCAUUUUGAAGUUUGUCUUUGUAGUUCGGUCGUAUGUUCAUACCCCUUCCUCCCAAGCACGGACCAAAUCAUCAAUCAGAGGCUCCAUGUACACACUCAUAUUAUUCCCUGGGUGUUCAGGAUUAUCAACGAUAAGAAUAUGUUCUGUCAUUGAAAGAGGACGCCAGGGGGGAGGUUGAGGGGGAUAACAUGGGCCAACAAGUGUAUGGGGCAGCCGCCAUUCCAUAAGGAUUGAACCCAUCUGUUGCCAGCGCAACACAUACAUUACGAGCCUCUAGAGCUUUCUCACGAUGCAUCACAUCAAACCUUGUCCAUGCUUCACCAUCGGAUGGAUGUACGAGCUUCUAAGGAUUGUAUCGACGCCCGUAUUUGUGCCAUAUCAUCUGUUUCGCGAAUUCCUCAACCAUAUAAAGUCAUUGGAUCCUCGGUAUGAAUGGAAGGUACCGUAGGAUCUUCACGGGGAUUGCGAGCUACCUCUUCUGACCAUCACCAGAGUCUACCUCCAGGAACCUAGAGGAUUUACACUUCACAUAGUACUUUGCUUCCGCGUGUUCUUUCCUAAAUAAGAUGCAUCCCUUCGGACAAGCAUGUAUCUGCUCAUAUGGCAUCUUAAGUGCACGAAGGAGUUUUUGUUCCUCAUACAUGCUCUUUGGCAGAAUGUGAUCAUCCGGGAGCAUGCUAUCAAAAACUAUCAACAUAACAUCGAAGACGUCUCGACUCAAGCUAAACUGGGACUUCACAGCCAUUAGGCGUGCAAUGGCAUCCAGUUGAGAAAGCUUGGUAUGCCCGUGAAGGGGUUGCUGUGCCGCAGACAACAUUUCGUAAUACGCCUUUGCGGUAGCCUCUAGCUCCUCCUUCCUAUGUCCUUCAUCGAAGUGUGCUUCAUGAUAGUCAUUUAACAUGUCUCCUACCUCGGCAUCAGCAUCAUAAUCCUUGAUGUGUUGUCUCACGACCUAUUCUCUCCCACGAUCGGCUUCACCAUGGUAGAUCCAUCGGGUAUAGUCUAUCGUAAAUCCAUUCUUGCAAAGAUGUUUACCCAUGACCACCUUUGUUUGUCGACGCGUGUUUGCACAUUUGCUGCAAGGACACCAAGUAGCACGCUCUCCUUAAGCCCUUGCAAAUGCUAGUUCCAAGAAAGCAUUGGUCUUCUCAAUCCAUUCAUUGGUCAACGAAUCCUGACUAGCUCGGGCCGUGUACAUCCACUCAUGGUCAUCCAUCCUCUAACAUAUCAACAAGUAAUAUAAAAAUCAAUUGCAUCUACAUAUUCCUAUAAUGUAUAAUAUGUGAAGAUAGGUCCUAAUCCCACCUGAGAAUGUGUAGAUAGGGUUAGUUUUCAUGCUCUACUCCUAUCCGAGAUAGAAUUUCGGUAGCACCUUCCCGCUGUUCUCCAAAUACAUGUCCUGGUAGGGAGAUUGUGUAUCCAGAGAACAACAUGGAGAUGAUGCCGAAACUCUGUCUCCGAUCGGAGUAAACCAUGGAAACUAACCCCAUCUACACAUCCUCGGGCUAUCCAAAAAAUGUGGACAAUUCAAAAUAGAUACGAUUAUAGAUAUGUAAAGAUCUGCAUAUUUCUAACCGUAUCUCUUUUGAAAGGGAGACGCCUAGCUAGGUUACGUGACAUACGAACAUGAUAUGGAAAGAGGGGUCUUUUAUACCUCACCUUGCUGUUCUGCAAAGUGACAAGUCGAGGACGGUGCAAUAGCCUCUCCUAAAAAAAGGAACAUAAUAGUGUCAAUCGUAAAUUUCGGCAGCACCUCCCCUGCACGGUGAGGUUUCCAAAACCUGCAACAAAUAAAACGGCACAAUGGCCAACAACCACAUACACACCAAACCAACAGCAUGAUAUCUGACAACCAUUGAUGAACAUCUUGUAGGAAGUUGCAUAUAUUUAACAACUCAUGCUAUAUCUCUUGCUCUACCACUAGGCUAUAAAAAAAAUAGAAAAUGUGUAAUGCCAAACUUCAUAGCUAGGAUUGAAAGACACUACAAAAUAGUACAUGGGGUCUCACCUAGUGCAGUGGUACUAUAUCACAUUCAUAACUUUUGACAAAUUUAUCAGUACGUAGCAAUACAAUUUGUUGAGUGAAAUAAUUUCACAGAAGACAUGUUAUGAACUGUGUGAUUCCAUGAGCACACAAUAACAAUGCCAAAGGAAAUUCAUCUCUAAGCUUCUCAUUGCUGUUAUGGACAUGUUAUGGAUGGUGUGAAAUUCAUCUCUAAGCUUCUCAUUGUUGUGUUGUGCUUAUUUUGUGCACUUAUGCAGGCCCGGCGAUGCGGCGGGGGGGGAGGGGGGGCGACCCGGCGGCGGGGGCCGGCGGCGCGGUGUGCUGGCGGUGGGGCUGGGGGUUGAGGGCGGUGGUGUGCGUGUGUUUGGGUGAGGGAGGGUGAGGGCCGGUGGAUAUUAGGCCAAUUUUUCGAGUGCCCGAGAUCUAUCACUCGGCAAAGCCAAUUUUGCGGAGUGUCCGAUCCGAGACACUCGACAAACAAUUUUUUUCCAUUUUCCUCCCUUUCCUUCUUUUCCAUAACGUGAUUUACUAAAUUUGUUCCAAUGUACUUUCAAAAUACCUUGUAAACAAUGCAUAUUUGAUUUUUCUACUAAUAUUAUUCAACUAUUUCAUGCAGUUAUAGCUCAAAUUCAAUUUAUAUCAAUUAAAAUUCUAUAAUUGCAGUUAAUAAAUUAAAAUUAUCAAACAUAUCCCAAAAAUUACCAAAAUUUGACAUGAAACAAUCUAUGUUGUCUAUUGCCUAUACAAAAAGUUUUGAAGUCAAACCCCAAUUCGACCGUCACUUUGACUCCAAAUCUUACGGGAUCCUUCUCAACGCUACGAUUCUUCUUCGGAGAUGCUUCGGUUUGUAAGCAUCGUAUGUGAAAAAUUGUGCGAAACCUUCUUAAUUUUUUACCAUAGCCUCCACGUACGAUAUCAUGAGAUCUUGACAAAUCUCUCAUGAUUUUCAGACUUCAUUUGCUUUUUUUAGAAUUUAAAAACCAUUCGGCCGCACGUUUGUGGUCGUGUUUCGUGAACAAGAUGUUCAAAAUUUUCUUUCAUUUCUCGGGUAAGACCUCACACUGGACUCAAUAACAUGAAUAUCAUUUUUUUACUCAUUUUAUUCUAUUAUUUGAAUCACUUGGAGUUCAAAUUUGACUUAUACCAAAAAAAUUCCUCUAAAUGCGAUAAAUUAAUUAAGUAUAGCAAACAGAUCGAGAAAUAUACCUAAUUUUAACAUGGAGUACAACAUGUUGUGUGGAGAGUAGAAAAAGUUUGGAGGGCGGGAGAGAAAAAAACUUAUUAUUUUGCCGAGUGCUAAUAAUAAACACUCGGCAAACUUAAGUCUUUGCUGAGUGCAAAUAAAAAACACUCGGCAAACUCGGCAAACCUUGUCUUUGCCGAGUGUCACUAAACAGACACUCAGCAAACCUUGUCUUUACCGAGUGUCACUAACGGACACUCGGUAAAGUUCUAACGGCCGACGCUGUGGUUGACGGCCGUCGCACGUGGCGGUCACGUGGCAGUCUUUUGCCGAGUGUUUAUUGUUUGCCGAGUGUCAGGUUGUUGUUUGCAAGUGUUUUCUUUCCUGCACUUGGCAAACAAGUUUUUUGCCGAGUAUUUCUCUGCACUCGACAAAGAGGGUGUUUGCCGAGUGCCCGAUAGAAUGCACUCGGCAAACAACCAGGUACUUGGCAAAAUUACUGUUUCCGGUAGUAAUACAUGGUAUCUUAAGAUUCAUCAGCGUUUUACAAACUGAGCACCAGGCAGUCAAACCAUAGUCAGCAUUAUAGACACUAGUAAGCCACCAUAGUACAAUCCGACAAGUACCUGUACACUUUGCAGCUUCUGUUAUAUUGAAGACCACUAUAUUAGGGUAAGAUAAGUUCGAUCAACGUAUUAGCUAGAUCAGCAACAGCUUCACUUCAGUUCUGCGGGAAGAGCCAUGUCGCACGCUUCCAUGACACUGCUGGCAGAGGGGUGGAGACCUUGCCGUCCUUCAUGCUGUAGACACUGCAGGAGGCCACACUAGACCGAAGGUGAUCCUCAUCCUCAUUCUCCAGGAAGAAGAUGGAAUCCCCUGGCACCUCGUCAUGAGAGACACAAACAGAUAUGGCCAAGAAAAAACAGCACGCGUCAGCGAAGAAACACCACGCGCCAAGAAAUCCGAAGCAGAAACGCUAACGCGUGGCCGGCGCCGAGACGGACAGGCAAUGCGUCGAACACCUUGCGUGCGCGAGCCGCGGCGAGGGCAAGAGGCGCAGAGGGAGAGAGGAGCGGCGAGCGCAGGGCAGGCAAUCCCCCUGCUGCUGAUCGGGGCGGAGGCGGUGGCUGCCGCCGGCCGAGCUGGGGUCCCUGGGUUGGGCUGUGCGCAGUUUGUGGGAUGACUAGAACCACAGAGCCACAGCCCACAGAGGUGGCUGGCCUCGUCAAGAAAUUCGUGAUUUUAUAAAUUUCUUAGAGAAGGAAAUCUGAAAUUGAAAGUUGGAAUGGAUUUAGAUCGUAACUCGAUAUACUAUUCGUAAAUUUCAAAUAAUGUUUCUUUGAACUUCUAAGUGCAAGUUUUUAUAAUGAUUUUUCACGGCGUCCUUAAAUGAUGUAGUCCAUUAUUACCUUAGUUGGACCUGAUCGCCCACUCCUAAUCUUCGUCUUUUAAAAUAUGAGACUUACUUUGCAUCCAUAAAUGUUUUUCAGUUUAAAUUUGAAACUUUUCACAUACAUCACCAUGUACUCAAGAGUUUCUUUUUAAUGAAAUUUUAAAUAAGUGUUUAAUAAAAAUCCAAGCCAUUUUCUAUAAUAUGUCUUCACCUGAGUUAAACAUGCAUGGUCGACUCGCUCGUAUUUUUCCUUUUGAACAAAAAUCACUCCUUUUUAUGGUCGAUGUUUGUAAAACUUGGAGGCAAUGGGUUUUUGGUUAACAUUCACACUGCCGCUCCUCAAUUUUCUUGUUCUAUUCCAUUUGAACGAAACGGGGGUUUUUUAUUUUCAAUCGCUAAAAAACUAUGUACCUUUCGAGUCAGAUUAUGUAAGCCACUGUAUGACAUGGUUGUAGUCUUGUAUGCUUGUAACAAAGGACACCGCCGCCCAGAGUAUCUUAGCCAGUUCUCACAUCUACUCUUAUUUUAUUGGGGAAUUCUUUGUAAAAAAGGUGCUUGCUAAAUCAUUAUCCAAAUUCAUCAAUUUUAGUAAAUUGCACAAAUGUAGGAAUAUAAAACUACCAUUAUCCUAUAAAGAAACUUCCAAGUGCGUGGAUCUAGUUUGAGGUAAGAGACAGUGAAACACACUAAUGCACUAAGUCAUACAUCCUUGUGGGAAUUAUAUAGGCUCACAGUGUGAUUGCAUGCAUUAUGAAAUCAAAGAUGUACGGCAAUUUCAUCGAGUUAUUCAAGUGGGAGUUCGCAGAUUGCGUGUUCGGUUUGCUUGAACAAUGUGACUAUAGAACACAAAUGAUCUUUCUAUUUUUGAGCAUUAUUACCACUUGAGCAUCAGAAGUUCAGCUAGCAAUCAAGGCACUGAUUGUUUACCUUAAGAUAGCCUUACUACCCGGAUGGAUCAUGGAUAUUCCACCCCCAAAAGUUCAUAAUAAGAAAUGUAUAAACCGAUAACAACGGUAAGAUCAACAAACAAGCUUGCAACCUACCCGACUAGAGACAACCUUACAAUGACAAGCUCACAGAAAAGGUUCAUAACAGCAGAUAGCAUGCUACCUCAAGGUUCAUCAGGUGUUUACAAAUUGAGCAUAACAUGAUUAAUAUGUAGUCAUCAUCACAGGCACCAGUAGACCACCAUACUACGAUCAGACAAGUACUGACGCUUAGCAGCUUCCAUUAUACCAGAUAGCACUAUAAUAAGACCAGAUUAAAACCGAUCCAAGCAUUCAGUUAGUACAGUGACAGUAUCACUUCAGCCCUUAGGGUAAGAGCCAUGUGGCUAACACCGCGCGGGGACUCCACGACACCAUUGGCAGAGGGUUGUAGACCUUGCCGUCUCUCACAUCGUAGACACUGCAAGAACUUGAGGGGUCCUCACUGUAACAAUGGUAAUACUCCUCGUUCUCCAUGAAGAAGAUGCGAUCCCCUGGCAUCUUGUUAUGAGAAAUGCAGACAGAUCUGCAGCACCGUCGACGAUAGAAACAACACCUGGUCCUCCCCUAGUGUGGUUACCUUGGCCAACCGUGACUGCCCGAAAUUGGCCUCAUACACCUCAAACCUGUUCCGUUCAGCUUUAAGAACAUCAAUUCUAUCCCAGUGUAGUGCUUUCAACUGGAGGUCUAUCUUUCGGCACACCAACAGCAACGCACCACGAGAUUCAACUAGGUAGGUCAAACUUAGAAUUUGGACUCCAGGUAUAAAAAUGUAGCUGAAAGCUCUAAGGCCACUGAUAAAUUGUUGGAUUCGAGAAAACCAUGGAUUGCCUGUGCUGUGGUCCACGCUGAUGUCAACAGCAAAAAGUGCAUAGAACUUUCCCUGAUGGAACACAAUGUCAACAAACAGAGCAGCUCGUUGAUCCAUAUGUACGGACCACCAGGAGGUGCCCCCUGGCUGGCAAACUGCAAUCCGAGCGCUCUCUGUCACUCAUGAACCUGAAUAUCGCUGCGAUGAGGUGAGGCGAACAAAAUAUAAUUUUGGACGCAUUCCGCUCCUCUUCUUCGUCCAUUUCCAUCCAUGCAUGGCCUGCCUCGUCAACGGACUGAUCACCCACAUCCCACAUUCGAGCGCGGGUCAGAGCUGGAAGUGUCACAGUCUCGUUGGAGAAAGGAUCCCUCAGGAAGCAGUCGUCCUCGCCCGAGAACACCAACCAGUUGCCAGUGCCACAGGCGUUAGUGUACCCCGUGCAGCCAGGGAAGUGGAACGGCGCUUCCUGGGAGGCUGCACACGGUGGCACCUGGGAGCAGGAGCAUCGGCAUCGGCGGGGGCACGCCCCCCUGCUGCGCGGCCGCGCGCCACUGGGGGGGCAGACGGCGGCGAACCGGACGCGGUCGACGUGCACAGGCAGGCGGCCGAGGACGAGGCCGGAGAGCUUCACCGGGAUGUCCGACCACGACGCCGGCGCCUCCUCCAUGGGUGCAGCCAACCUUGCAAUUCAAUCGAGAACACAGCACGCCGUCAGAGAAGAAAUCGCAAGCCGGAGGAAAAACGCCAGCACGCGGCCCGCGCGCGCGGGGGCGGACACACCGGCAAUGCGUCGAGCACCUUGCGUGCGCGACCCGCGGCGAGGGCAGGAGGAAACGAAGGAGAGUGGGGCCGGUGAGUCCAGGGAAGGAGGAAUGGAGGUGGGUUACCGGAAAUUGACGGCCCGCGGCGGAGGAAUCGCGCUCCCGCUGCUGCUGUUCGGGCGGAGGCGGGGGUGGGGGCGGCCGCCGGCAGAGCUGGGAUGGAGAGAGCUGAGCGGGGGUGGAGUAGUCAGUAGUGUGAACGGUUUGAACGGCUGACGUAGUUGACCUCGCCACGUGGCGAGUGAGCUAAUAAAAAAAUCUGUAAACUAAGUAAGGCCUUGUUUACUUCCCAAUUUGGAAGUUGCAAAAUUGGCAUUUUGCCAUAAAUGCGCAACUGUAGCGUUUCGUUUGUAUUUGUGAAUUAUUGUCCAAAUAUUGACUAAUUAGGCUCAAAAGAUUCAUCUCGCAAAGUACAACAAAACUGUGCAAUUAGUUUUUGAUUUCGUCUACAUUUAGUACUCCAUGUAUGUACCGCAAGUUUGAUGUGAUGGGGAAUCUUCUUUUUGCAUAGUGUCAAAGUUGGGAGUUUGGAGGGAAGUAAACAAGGGCUAAAUCCAAAAGGAACCCUACAUAGAUGUUCUAAUUUUUAAAACAAAAAUUAUGUGUUGGUGGAGAUGUUACAAAAUUUUUAGUACAAAUAGAUCUGUGCAAAUCUCGAGCGGGCCGUCAAAAAGCCCGAUUUCUUUGGAUCCAAAAUCUCCACCCAAGCUCGGCCAUUAACUCUAUCGGGUCUAAUUUGGGCCAAGCUCGGGCCAAGCCGCCCAUCAUUUUCUAGUGUAAAUUUAAUUUAUUUUAUUAUUUAGGCUGGGUCAAGCCCACCUUUUUUUGGGCCGUGAAAAUCAGCGCCACGCUCGAUUCGAGCCUAUUUUGCUCAGACCUAAGUACAAAUAUUUUGGAAAGACUGAUUAAAUGUGAUUUUUAUGCUAUAGUGGUUAGUGGCACAUGAUUUUCUAUGUUUUUUAUAAUUUUAUAAAUGUAAUUAAAACUUGAAAUAAAAUUUUGAAUGUAUUUAGAACAUCACCUCUUCGUGAAUUCCCGAUGUUUCUCUGCACUUCAAAACACGAGCAAAGCCAGUGUUUGGUUUGGGGUCAGUAGUUCCUCAGUCACAAAGCAUACGGCAUCUAAGAUUUGUACUAGACAAACUUCUUUGUCUAUGACUAAAUUUGUAGAAAAAUACAUAAAUAUUUACAGCAUCAACUAAUUUCCCUAGAUAAGUCAUGAAAUAUAUUUUCGUAGCGCAUUUAUUUGAUGUUGUAGAUUGAUAUAGUACAUGUUAAUAUUCUAUUUUUUACGUACUCGGUUAAUGUUACAAAAGUUUAGCUUAAGACAAAACUAAAACAAUUUAUGAACGGAUGGAGUAUAUUGAAAAAUCAUUGGCCUUAAUGAAUAUGUUGUCACUUCCUCUAUUCAGUAUUUCAGUCCAAAGAAGAGAGUUAAAAACAAGCGCACAUAUACAAGGAUGCAACAGAGAUUGGUGAGAAGAAAAGUGCACAAUAAAUCAACUAAAUUCAGUCUGGUUUCCUCUGGUGCUGAUGGGCACCAUUCUGGAUUUUUCCAGGAACCUGCGGAACAAAAAGAAAAAUGUAAGCACAACAAUGAAUACUGAUGGGUUAUCAUCACAAUGGGCAUGCGUGAUCAAUAGGUAAGUACCUCUCGUUCAGUUGAGAGCAUCUUAUGCUUAUUCUCCAUCUCAAUUCUAAGGGUGGGACAGUUGGGAUGGAGGUCAGCUGCGUGUGCCAAUGCUGCCUUCCCUUCCUCCACCUCCGCAGCAGUAGCGUCCUCACACUGCUGGAUCGUAGCAGUAACCCUCUGGAGCGAAGUACCAGCAACAUUUUCAAAGCCAGGCUGAAUAAUGUCCAUAUCUUUUAUGAACCGCACAUAAACAGAAAACACAAGGGAUUCAAGGCUUGGCAUCACGAUGGAAGGUGCUGUGGUUGCAUCGUUGUCUCUUUCGCAGCUGUGCGAAUCAAACUGGACAAACGAAAAGGGAGUGUGAAAGAAUCUCAACUUCCGGAAGUAGCGGUGCAGAUGAUCACCAGUGGUCUUCCUUAUGCUUAAUAGUUUGGUGUGAUCUGAACUCAGUUUGAGAUAACAGAGCUCUGGUAGCCUCCCAAGGGUUUCCAUGUCCUGUUCUUGCACCAAAUUCACUGUCACAUCCAGAUGGGUGAGGUUCAAAAGAAGUGUCGAGUCCAUCCAUACCGGUAGUGCAGAGAACUUGAAGCAUUCCAAACACAUCUGUCCAAGACGAAGAGGAAGAGCCUCAAAACAUGCUUCUUCACCCGUGAUGCCUCUCACCAAUGCUGAGCCAAAAACACAUAAGGUGCGGAUCUUGUGGAGAUUUGCAAGCGAUUCCAGCAAAUCUCUCUCCAUGCUCUCAUCGUUUACAUGAAUGGUCAGGUCCUUGACGAGCUGCCUUGUUGACGCAUCAUCAGCUGGCCAUUACCUUGAGCUCUUGCAACGAAGUAAGGUUCCUGAUCAAACAAGAUGGCACUAUUAUACUGUCAUUGACAUGUAGGCACAACAGUUGUUUCAACAGGCGCACACCCUCCGGCAGCUGUUGCAUUCAGUGUCUGUAGAAACUUGAGAUCUCCAGCUUCCUUGGGGAGCUCAUCAAUUUGUGUAUUCAAAAUUCCAAGAUACCUCGAUCAGGUGGCAUAAACUCCCUAAAUGCCGUAAUCUUCUAUAGUUAAAACACGUAGAACUUGAAAACAUGAUGCUACCACAUUAAUAUCGCCAAACCCAUGUUAACUAGCUGAGUGCGGUUGUGCUCUUCAACACUCCUACCGUGCACGGCAAAUCUGCGAGUAUUGCUACCGCCUAUGAGUUUUUGUUGGUCAUUGUUGUCCAAUAUAGUGGCCAAAUUUUCUUCACUCGAUAGUGAACGAACCAGAUCAAGUACCAUAUCAUGAACACCACAAACAUAUACAUACCCGUUAUCCUCUAACUCCAUCGGUUGGAUCAUGCUUCUAUUUAUUAGCUCGUUGAAGUACCCUUCCCCGAGCUCAAAUAGUUCUAUCUCUGUUGUUGCUUGUUCAUUCUGAAUAAACACUUUAGCUAUCCACUUCCAUAUCAAAAGAUUUUACUCGAUCCCAUAUUCUUCCCGAAAUAAACUUACAUACAGCUAGCAAGCCUUUAGAUGUGAAGGGUGUAAGAAAAGGAGGAAACAUGGUUGCCUAUCUUAGCUUGCCACGGUUACGCGUUUAUAAAGGGUGAAUUCACCAAGAGAUUUACAUCGAUACGGUUGUGACCGUCUAGAACUAGUUUGCUUCAUAUAUUUGAAUUACAACAGGACACAACCUAUCUCUAAGCAAACUUAUCCAAACCGGCCUAGAUCACAACCACACAAUAGGACUCUAUUGAGUCCAAACCAGAUUACAAUCAUAACUUCUCUUCCUCUUGAGAUUUACAUUGCUCUUGAAUUCUUCUAGCUUACCAGCCGAUAGUGCUUUAGUGAAUCCAUCUACAACUUGAUCAUGAGUAGACACAAACCAUACUUGCAAUUGCUUCUUAGUUACCCUCUCUCGAAUAAAAUGUAAAUCAAUCUCAAUAUGCUUAGCCCAUGCAUGAAAGACUGGAUUAGCUAAAAAAUAAGUAGCGCCUAAAUUGUCAAACCACAAAAUUGGAGGUUGCACCAGCCGAACACCAAGCUCCAAAAGCAAUGAUUCUGACCAAAUCAACUCAGCUGUAGCAUUAGCCAUAGAUUUAUACUGUGCUUCUGUACUAGAUCUAGGUACAGUAGCCUGCUUUCUAGCACUCCAAGAAACAAAUUUUAGGAUCAAGAAAGAUUGCAAAUCCUCUAGUAGACUUUCUAUCAUCAACACUUCCAGCUCAAUCAGCAUCAGAGAAAGCACUCAAAACCAUAGAACUUGAUUUCUUAAUGUGUAACCCAAUAUUCAAUGUAAAUUGCACACAAUGAAGAAUUCUUUUAACAACAGUCCAAUGAACUGAAGUUGGUGCAUGCAAAAACUGACAUACUUUGUUAGCAGAAAAGGCGAGAUUUGGUCGAGUGAGAGUCAAAUAUUGCAAGGCUCCAACAUUGCUUCUAUAAUGAGUGCUAUCUUCUGGACCAAGCGGAUCACCCUCAAAACUUGAAAGUUUUUCCGAACUAGACAAUGGAGUUGUAGAACCCUUGCAAUUAUUCAUGCCAACAUGCAUUAAAAUUUCUUGCGCAUAAUUUUCUUGAGAGAAUAACAAACCAUCAUUACUUCUUUGAACUUUAAUACCCAAAAAAUAAUGCAAGUCACCAAGAUCUUUUAGAACAAAGUCCUUGCGUAGAUCCAAUAAUAAAGUUGAAAUUGCUUCACUAGAAGAGCUAGUAACAAUAAUAUCAUCAACAUAUAUGAGCAUGUAAAUAGUUACUCCUGAUUUUUGAUAAAUGAACAACAACGUAUCUGAUUUUGAAGCAACAAAACCAAGCACAAUUAACUUAGUGCUCAAUCUUGCAUACCAGGUACAUGGAGCUUGGUUAAGACCAUAAAUCGCUUUAUCAAGCUUGCACACUAGAUGUGGGGCACCAUCUUUCUCAAAUCCUGGAGGCUAUUUCGUAUAAACCUCCUCUUCCAAAACACCAUGUAGGAACACGUUUUGAACAUCUAGCUGUCGUAAGUACCAGCCUCUAGAGACCGCCAAAGACAAAACAAGCCUCACAGUAGCAAUCUUGACCAUUGGAUUGAAUGUGUCCUCAUAAUCAUUCCAUAUCUUUGUCGAAAUCCUUUAGCUACCAGUCGUGCCUUGCAUCGAUCAAUCGUCCCAUCAACUUUCUUUUUGACUUUAAAGAGCCAUUUGCAAUCAAUUAAAUUGCAGCCAUCUUUAGGUUCAACUAUGCCACGUGUUGUUUCUAAGCAGUGCUGAAUACUCCUCUUGCAUGGCUUCCUUCCAUCGAGAAUUACCAAGGGCGUUUUGCAAUUUUUUUGGUUCACUAGGAGCAAAAAAUUCCCAUAUCUGAUAGUCCCAUCUGUGAACCUCUUAGGUUUGACAAUGCCAUACUGAAGACACGUACGUCGUUGAAUCGGUGAUGGAGCUUGAUAUGCCGGCAUAGCUGAUCCAGAACCCGGUGCAAUAGAUCCAAAAAUAGGCACAGCUGCCACGGGUGCGCCAGGCGCUGUUGCGGGUGAAGAUGAGUUGCCGCCACCUGCCGCGGGUGCACUAGGCACUGUCGCGGGUGUGAAUGAGCCGCGCAAGCCACCACCUGCUGCGGGUGCGCCAGGGGCAGAGUUCGGGGCGGAUUCCUGCGGCGCAUGGUCAGAAUCCGGAGGUGCAUGUCCCGCCCCCCAACGCAUCAAAGCCGGAGCGUGCGAGACGGAAUCCUAGGACGCGCCGAGUGCGGGCGGAACCAGCUGGGAACUCGCGCCCAACACAGAUACGCCUGUGGCUGCCGGAUUUGUUUGGGAGACGCUGCCAGGGUCUUCUGUGGCCAAAACUCUAGCAGAAAUAGGUUUAGAUGCAGGAUGUUGCUCGGUGCUUGCAGCAAAAUUCUGCCUGUCUGGUUCCUGCAAAAUGUCAGCACCCUCACCAGGAGCAUGUUGUGCACCUAACAUUAGGUGCACAACUUACAUCCCCAUAGCGAAACAAAUGCGGAGGAAGGAGAUUUAUUUCUUGGUGAAUUUGGGCGCUGGCAUUGGGGUGGAGAUGAGCAAAGGGAAAAACUUCUUCAUCAACGACGACAUCUCGAGAAAUAUAGAUGCGACCGGUGGGAAUAUCAAGACAUUUGAAGCCUUUAUGCAUGGCACUAUAACCAAGAAGGCGCAGCGAAUAGAUCGAGAAGCAAGCUUGCGAGAAUUAUAUGGUCACAAAUUUGGCCAACAAGCACAACCAAAGACUCGAAGAGAUGAAUAAUCUGGAGUUUCUUGCAACAAGCGCAUAACUAGAACAUCAUAAUCGAUGACCUUACUAGGAAGAAGAUUAAUGAGAUAGGUGGCUGUAAGAAAGGCAUGAUUCCAAUCUUUCAGUGGCAUGGAUGCAUUAGCGAGGAGAGCGAGACCUACCUCAACUAUAUGGUGAUGCUUCCUUUCGGCUGCAUCAUUUUGUUGAUGUGCAUGGGUGCAAGAACCUCGGUGGGUAAUCCCUACUCUUGAAAGGAGUUUAAUUUCUCAUAUUCUCCUUCCCAAUCUAAUUGUAUAGAUUUAAUUUUGUAGCCAAAAUUUCUUUCUACAAGCUGCUGAAAAUCUUGAAAGACUUGAAAAACAUCAGAUUUUUUCUUAAGCAAGUAGAUCCAAGUGCACUUGCUAAAAUCAUCAAUAAAGCUAACAUAGUAUCUAUGGCGCCCAAUGGAAGGAGGUGCUGGCCCCACACAUCCAAAAAAACAAGAUCAAGAGGAGCUUUAGAUGCACUAUUUGAUAUAUGAUACGGGAGCUGAUGGCUCCUGACCAUCUGACAUGAAUUACAAAUAGACUCUGAAUUAUUGUCACUAACACAAGGAAGCUUAUUUGAGCUAAGGAUUCUUCUACUAUAGGAAAAGCUGGAUGACCAAGUCUACUAUGCCAUCGAGUGAUAGAACGUUUAUUGACUGCAAAAGCUUAUUUUCUGGACACUUCUUGGGAUAGAUGCGACCCUAGAGGAUAGAGACCAUUGCGGGAUCUACCUUGAUGGAUGACUUUUUUCGUUUCCUGAUCCUUUAUACAGAAUAAAUUUGGAUGAAAUUCUAUGAAGGUAUCAUUGUCUCGAGCUAAUUUAUGAACUGAAACUAGAUUCUUGCUAGCACUAGGAACAUGAAGGAUAUUUUUCAAGAUAAUAUUUUUGCUAGGGGUAUGUAAAGUUGUAUGACCAUGUUACUAAUUUUCAUACUUGUACCAUUGGCCGCAUGCACUUGAUCACGUCCAUUGUACUUGUCAUGAAUUAUCAUCUUCUCAAGUUCACUUGUGACAUGAUCUGAAGCACCACUAUCAACAUACCAAUUUGAAUCAUACCCAUAGCCGGCCAUGGCUGCCCCUGCUGUUUUCUGACUUGGUUGACUGUCAUCUUCAUCAUAUCUACACCAGCAGCGAUUUGCUUCAUGCCCAACCUUGGUGAAGUAAGCGGAGGAGGACAUGUUACCCUUCUUGGUCGUGGAAAGUAGAACGCGCAAAUUUGCAAUCUGCACUUUGGAGUGCGCCGAGAACAUCCUCUCAAGCACGUCCCAUGCUUCUGCAGUUGUAGUUAACGUCACCACCGGUGCUAAUGCAUCCUUGGUGAGGGAAUUCAGCAGGUAGCUUAGUACUUGCUGAUCUUUCGCGAUCCAGGAGUCGUACUCAGCGUUGUGGACGAUCUCCUUCUUGCCAUCCGCCGUGACCACCUCCAGAGUCUUGAGCGGCGCAGGGGUUGAUCCAUCUAGGAUCCCUAUAAGUUGAGCUCCUCGUAUAGUAGGAAGAAACUGGACCUUCCAUAGAAAGUAAUUGUCUCGAGUCACUUUCUCCGAGACAACUCCUAACGCCGGCAUAGCUGUUGACGUCGAUGUCAUGGGAUGCUGUUGAGAUGCUUCUAGCGCAGGUUGCUGAUACAGAAAAAAAUUCUGGCGCAGGAAGCAGGUACUGGCGCAGGAGAUUGGAGCAGGUGCUAGCGCAGGAGAUUGACGCAGGCACUGGCGCAGAAAUCAGAUGCUGGCGCAGGAAUCAGGAGCUGGCGCAGGAGAUUCUGGCACCGGACAUUUUCCUGGUGCAAGAAUUUUUUUUUGGCAAGGAUUUUGUGGAUGUUUAGGAAGAGGAUGCUCUGAGUACCAUGUAAGAAAAGGAGAAAAUGUGGUUGUCUAUCUUAGCUCGCCACGAUUACACAUUUGUAAAGGGUGAAUUCACCAAGAGAUUUACAUCGAUAUGGUUGUGACCGUCUAGGACUAGUUUGCUUCAUAUAUUUGAAUUACAACAGGACACAACCUAUGUCGAAGCAAACUUAUCCAAACCGGCCUAGAUCACAACCGCACAGUGUAGUAGGACUCUAUUGAGUCCGAACCAGAUUACAAUCAUAGUAGCUAAAUGACAAUAUUCUUCUAGUAUUCUCCACAAUGUCAUUGCCUCCGCCAAAACCAAUAGAAUUGUACACCUUAGCCCAGUCCUCCCCUGAUUUACUUGCCAAUAAGAUAGCUAUUGUCAUGAUAGCUAAUGGCACACCAUCACAUUUCUUCAAAAUUUUAUCACAUGCCUCAGUUGAAAGACUGUCUAGAAAUCUGUCUUCACCACAAGUUAUUCUAGAAUAUAGUAAUAUUUCAUAGUCAUCACGAGAAAGUGGUUGCAUCUUCUAAAUAUCACCAAUAUGGGUGGCGAUUUCAAAAAUCCGAGUAGUCACCACUACUCUACUUCGACAAUUACUAUGUCGGAACCUGGGCCGGAACGAUUUCAAUCCUUCCUGCCUUGGUCCGGAAUCAAUCUGCACCUCAUCCCUCCUGGAUCGGUUUCUGGCCACACGCGACGCGAGGAGAUGGAUGCUCCGCUGGCGGGGCGCGAGGCGACGAGGUGGCGGCGUGGCGGCGUGAGGUGACGGUGUGGCGGCAUGGCACAUCUUCGACGGCCACCACCGCGAUGGCGGCCGCCGCCUUCUCGCUGGUAAGCCGCCGCCUUUUCCUCCACUCUCCUUCUCGCCCUAGGUUUCUUGCUUCCUGUGUCCUCCGCUCGAUCUGGCACUUGAUCUAGGUAGGGGACUGCGGUAAUGUGCUGGAUCUGCUAGCGAUUUGGUUUGCUGGAUAUGCUCGCGAUUAGUUUUCUUGGUUUGUGGUGAGGGGAAAGCGAUAGGGUUCCAAAGCAGCCCAUUCCUGGUUCCAUGGUUCGUGAGUGUUCCAUGGUAUAGUUGGCUGGUCGGACGGACAAGGCUGCCAUGCGACUUCACGCGCUGCGCGGCGCAGCCUCCCGCGGCCCCCGCUAGCUAUCUCCUUGCUACCACCUACCAUUUCGUGGUGAAAGAAUUAGUGUCCAGCACACCAGUGUGUGUCAGUUCCUUAUUUUUUAUCUAUGCUGCUGACCCAAGAACGUCAUAUACAACAUACUAGAUGGAGUAAUCCGAGACAUAUUACUGUAUUAUUACUAGCAUGAUAAUACAAGGAAGCGCAGAGAAUUCGCAGACCAAUUUCAAUUUCAGUUUUCAGUUUAGAAGAAGAAUGUGCUUUCUUCCUUGUAGCAGAGUAGCAGAGAGCAUAGCAUUUGAACCAGGAUUGUGUUGAUUGAUUACAAGCACUCAUCUUCUCCCACAGUACGUGGUUUUAGCAUAUGUUUGUAAUUUGUAAGCAAACAGAGUAUGGUACUAUGGUCUGCUCCAUUUGGCAUCCAUGGCCAGUUCUCAAAUGUACAUUCGCUAAUGUGCCAGCCAAAUGAAAUGAGUUUGGGAAGACAUCAUGAAAAUAUGGUAUACAGGGAGGAGAGGAGAGAUUGCUUCAUCUGCGAUCAUCUUCUUCUUUCUUUUGCUUUUUCCUGUUUUUCCAUAUUGCGGUCGAUUGCUGUGUAGAUUCUCAGUUUAUUCAGGAGAGUUUGGGAAGACAUCAUGAAAUAAGUGAUAUAUAUUUGAUCAGGAGGUUCUGUGAACCUGGUUUAGUUUACUUGCGUCUUAAUUAAAUAUUGGCAUACUGAAAAGCUAUAUGCCUAUGUAUGAAGGGGAAUCUAAAUAAUGAAAAGCUAGAUGCCAUUUAGAUCAACUGAAACAGGUUCAAUUAUCACUUUAUAUUGGCAGGAUCUUUCAUGAGCAUGGCGCUCUUAUUGAUGGAAGAAUUCUUUCUUUUCUAGAUAAUAGUAACCAUCUAUAUCUGUAUCCAGAAAUAUCAGUACCAGUCACUAUUGUAUGUGUCGCACUUUGCACCUUUAAAGUUUGGAACAUAAAGAACUCAUGUGUAACUGUAAUCUACUAUGUUUCAUGAGACACAACAGCGACGUGUUUUUGGUGUGCCUACAUGGUUUGUGAUAUGAGUCAAAUCAUUGUUCCUUUUUUUCUUUUGCACAAGUAUAUGCUAUUAGGAAACAUUUUCAUAUUCUGCUGUAUCUGGAUGAACAAGUUCACAGUGGUUGUUAUGUUGACCUUCAAUAAUCAAGCUAGUUUGUUCUCUCUAACCAGCUAUUACUGGUAUUUGCAAGGAUGGAAAGUGUUGCGGAAAGGAGAUGUCUCAUGUUUGGUGAGCUCGAGUGCAUGGGUACAGAAGCUCAGACAGGGCAGGAAAUAAUCUGAAUUCAGAAGCUCUCGGUGAUCAAAUGGAAUCUCUGAAGUCUGGCUUCAGCUGGAGUGCUCUGUACUCUCUAGCAUGAGUUUUUUAGUAGCAAUUAUAGUCUGCAGUAGUAUGGGAAAUUUUCUCUUUCCUUUUCAACAUACUAUCUGAUGAUCCUUGAUCAUUGCUCAUGUUCAAUAUUUAUUUAAAUUUUUGAACUGAAAUCAUUGCAUUGGUGAAUCUAUGAUUAGGUUGAGUAUUGAACUGAAACUUUUGAGUACCGUAAUCAGGUAGUCUUGUUCUGGUACUCUUUAAAUAUCGAAUAUGUAAUUGGAAUGGUUCCUAUCUAGCCGAACACAAUUUUUUAUGAUCUGGAAUGGUUCCUGAGCAGGAUUUGAAAUAGGUCAGGAUCGAGUGAAGGAAGGGGAUCCACUUGAUCCUGGCUAGGAACGGUUCCUGGACCGGAACCAAUCCAAAGAAAACGAACAAGACCUUAAAAUAACACGUUUUUUAAGUAGCGAGAUGCCCGGAUCGGACUCAGGCUCCAGGACAUGCUAGAGGCAUUGUUAAUUUGACUGCUCUUGGAACGCCCAGAGGUCGUCAACGAAUAAGUACCUGAUGGAUGAGUGGAAUCUCGGCAACCAUUAAUCGUCACGUCCAUCCAAUGCAAGUCAGUGCCUGCCUCACACUUGUGAAACGAACGAGACCUUAAAAUAACACGUUUUUUAGUAGCGAGAUGCCCGGAUCGGACUCAGGCUCCAGCACAUGCUAGAGGCAUUGUUAAUUUGACUGCUCUUGGAGUGCCCAGAGGUCGUCAACGAAUAAGUACCUGAUGGACGAGUGGAAUCUCGGCAACCAUUAAUCGUCACGUCCAUCCAAUGCAAGUCAGUGCCUGCCUCACACUUGUUUGUGUCCAUCCAGCCAGGCAUAAGCUGUUAAGCCCUAGGUUGGUGGUUGCGUCUAAUUAAUUUCAUACUCGCCUUUGUUUUAAAUUGUAGAUAGUUGAAGGAGUUUUGCCCGAAAACUCUCUGGACGAUUCCAAAGUAAAUAUACUUUGUCCGAUGCCUCCAACUCCUGAUUGUCGGACCAUCCGGUGCCCUAGGGUUGUCUUCGUCUUCUCUGUGAAUUACUCCGACGCAUGUAAAAUACAAGUUGUCGGAUCAUCUAGUGCACUUGAAGUUUUUCCCCGUUUUCCUGUUGUACCAAUUGCUCCGGUGGUUAGUCCGAUGGUUGCUCUGGUGGACCAUCGGAACAUCCGGUGCUACUAAUUUGUCUGAGUUGAAUACCGCCAUUUGAGCACCAAAGAUACCAUCACUUGGAUUUUCUCUAUCAUUUGGAUGCUUGAAUAUCAUAGAAUAAUUCUAAAUAUCAUGGCUUGGUCACUUGGAUACCACCAUUUGGAUGUAGAAAAUACCAUUAUUUGGAUGAUUUGAUUACCAUGAUUUGUACCUUGUCAUGAUUUGGUUUGCAUUCUUGGGACCUAGAAAACCUACAAGGCACAUGCUUGAUAACCUAUCUUACUAUUACUAAUUGGAGGCUCCUUUUGAAGCCUCCAGAUGAAGCCACCUAGGAUUCCUAGGUCGACAUUCUAGAAAAAGAGAGAAAUCCUAGAAAUUCUCACAAAAAAGCAAAACAUCCGACCAUCAAUCGACAUAUUCAAAUCAUCAUAACCAUUGGAUCUAUUAUGUUUUCUAAAAAAUUACCCACCUAUACCAUUAUGAAAAUAGCCUAAAGUAACCCCCUAAAUCUACAUAUAAAUUACCCACCUCUGCCAUUAUAUAAAAUAAACUAAAGUAACCCCCUAAUCUUCAUCAAAAUUACCCACUUAUGCCAUUAUAAACAAUAUUUAAAAUAACUCUCUAAUUUGCAACUGAAUUGCCUACCACUAUUACUUUAAAAAACUUAAAGUAACCUCUUAAAUUUGUAUCUAUAUUAUCCACACAUGCUAUUAUUAAAAAUAACAUGAGGUAACCCUACGUUUGAAUCAAAUAACCUUAAUUAAAAAUAUACAACAAUAUAUGAUUCUAAAUCGUCUAUAUCUUACACUAUUGAUAUACGAUAUAAUAAUUAAGGUCUAUACGCAUGAUGUGUGAUGUGUGUCACCAUUUAUAAGGAUAUAAAGUUAUGGGAAUAUACAUUUGUAUGCUAAAAUUAUAUUUAGCAUUAUGGAUAGUUCUAUUAAAUUUAUGAGCACUCAAACUUAGGGUUCAUUAAACAAAUUCAAGCCCAUACAUGCGGUCCAAAGUGGAAAGUUAAAGAUUAUAAAUGUGGAUGAAAAUAUUAUAGAGUAAUUACUAACUGAAACUAUCAUAAUUGGAUGAAGAUAUUAAGUAUAAUAUCUACAUAAGUAUUGUGUUCGAAUAUUUAACAAACGAGAGGUAGCUUAUGGUAAUAAUUUUGUAGCAAUGUAAUCUCAUUUUUUUUUCAUUGGAGACUCCGCAUUAGUUCCCAUGAGACAAGCAAGAAAAAAGAGAGAUUCUCAUAAAAAUUAAAAACAUCAAACACCAAUCCUGUAAACUCUAAUAAUCAUAGCCAUUGAUUUAUUAUAUUUUCUAAAAAGUUAUCCACCACUGUCAUUGUGGAAAUAUUCAAAAAUGAGCUCUAAACCUAUAUCUAAAUUACCGAGCUCAGCUAUUAUAAAACAUAAUCUAAAGUAACCUCGUAAUCUUCAUCCAAUUUACUAAUGCACAUCAUUAUAAAGCAUAACUUAAAAUGUCAUUCUAAAAUUUUAUCUAUGUUACCCACGUAUGUUGUUAUUAAAAGUAACCUAAAGUAAAUACCUAAAUCUUAAUCUAAUUAUCUUCAUGUGCAUUAUAUAGAAAUGUCAAAAAGUAAACUAAUAUAUGAUUCUAAAUUACCUAUUUAUGUCAUUGUUAAUAUAAAAAUACUACAUUAAAGUAUAUACACAUGAUGAGUGCCACCAUUAGACCAUGUAUACACUUAUGUGCGGAAUCGAUGAAAAAUAUUGAUUUGUAUGCUAAACAUAAUGUACAGAGGAUUGGAGGUGCGAUACAAAAUGGAAAAAGUAUGAAUAUGAAUGAAAAAGUGCAUAGAAUAAUUAUUAAUUAAAAAUCAAUCACAACUGGACAAAGAUAGAUACAUAUCUAUAUAAGUAUUAUGUUGAAGUAUUGGAAAAAUAAUAGUAGUAGGUAAACAAUUUUGAUUAUUAGCUAAGAGUUUAAUUUCUAUAUAAUUUUCAAAUCCAAUAGCUUAUAAAAACAUUAGCCCGUGCGGGAGCACGGGUUGAUGGACUAGUUAGUCCCAAUGACUAUGCUAUCACUUAAUCACCAAAAUCACAAACAAUAGCCUAAUGUGGUCAUGUUCCUUACCCCUUAACAUUCUCCAUCCUUUCUCGCCAGUCACCACCGUGCCUCAUGCUCAUGCAUGAGGCUCGGUGACUUCCCGCGGUCUCACCUUGAUCUUGCUAUUUCUUAUAACCCAUGACAGAGAAACAAUCAUAGAGUAUAUAGGACUACUAUAUACUACGUACUACUAAGUAGCUGCAGCGAGAUUCCCUGAUCAGACGCGUUAUUACAAGUGAUCGCGACUUCAUUCCAUGAGAGAGGAGUCUUCUUCUUCUUUCCUUAUUUUUUUUUGCACGAGACUUCAAUGACAGAAUGGUCAUCAUAUAUCAUAUAAUAAUAUAGUAGCUUGCAUGAUGAUAAGGUUACUUCUAUAGUUAUGCAUGCCCGAAAUCUAAUUAGCUGUGACAGCUGCCACCAAAUAGAAGAAUUAGCUGUGUGAGCCCCAACAUGCAGUGUCGCUCAGUUUACAUUUAAAAUAACACGUUUUUUAGUAGCGAGAUGCCCGGAUCGGACAUUCGGACUCAGGCUCCAAAGCAUGCUAGAGGCAUUGUUAAUUUGACUGCUCUUUGAGCGCCCAGAGGUCGUCAACGACUAAUUACCUGAUGGACGAGUGGAAUCUCGGCAACCAUGCAUUAAUCGUUAAGUUGGCACGUCCAUCCACUUAAUGCAAGUCAGUGCUCACGCUUGUUUGUAUCCAUCCAGCCAGGCAUAAGCUGUUAAGCACUAGGUUGGUUGACAAACUCCCUUUGUUUUAAACUUUGUUUUAAAUUAUAGAUCGUUUUGUAUUUUCAAGAUGCAUAGGAAAAAACUAUACGAGUAGCAAAUCCAAACUCAAUUACCGAUACGAGCAUGCAUUGUUGCUUGUUCGAUUGAAUCCUCUGCUCAAAUUAGCCAAUCACCGCAGGAUUAUUGAGCUCGUGGCCACCUGAAUCGGAGUUGCUGCUACCGGAUCCCUUUCUUACCAAUGGCCAUACCCGUCGCGGCCGCCGACGCAGCGCUGCUCGCCGCCCGCGCAUAUGCCAUCCACCGUCCCUAGCCACGUCCUUGCGUUGCGCGCGCACCACCACCUGCUGCCAUGGACACCACCGCUCGCCGCGCUAGGCCCGAAGCAGUCGUCCAAGCGUUAAUGCCGUUCGUCUUGCUCGCCUGCACGAAAACCGAAGCCCACUUCGCCGUUGACGCCUGCGCAUAGCCCCGGCCUACCAGCUCACCGUCCACGGCCAGCACUCCCGGCUCGUCGCCGCGGGCCUGCGGCCCCGCCGUCACCGUGCGGGUUGGGUUGGAAAGAGGAGACGACGGGAGAGAAAACUGAGUACAUGAACAAUAAAAUAUUUUAGACAGGGCCCACUUGUAGAAGCCAUGGGUUUGGGUGAUGUUGGUUCGUAAAUUGAGUGCCUUGCUUAUAUGGCAGCAUAGACAUCAUCCAUAGAAACGGUGGGUUGAAAUCAGGACAAUAAUUGUGCCAACUAGCUGAUUAGUUAACUAUCAAUCCAAGAUAUUAUACUAGAAAUCAUGAUAACAAUUGUGAAAGAGCUGAGGCAGUACGACCAAGCCUAAUUAAACUUCAAACCAGGAUAAUGAUUAUGCCAUCUAACUGAAAUAUUUAACUCACAAUCCGAACUAUUAUAUACUAGAAAUAAGGAUGAUAAUCGUGCUAGCCAGCUGUGCUUCCUAGCUCAACUACUUCAUCUCCUUUAUCUGGUUUAAUUUUUGAUGAUGAGGCCAAUGACGUUUCAUAAGGUGGCUAAGUAUUUAUAUUUACAGUAGAAGAAAUAAAAAAUGCAAUCAUGCAUGGCAGAUGAAGUAAAAUUUCAGAAAACCAUUUUAAUUUGUAUGCAAGUCUAUGCCGACUCACAUCAUCCAAUAUAUAAUGCUUCCCUGCUGCUCAGUUGCCAUUAUUUAUUCCAGAGAAUUGCAUUUGGCUCCAUGUUGGGUAGGCUUUACAUGCAUCACCUUGUUUACAAUGCCACAACGUGGAGAAGUAACUCACCCCGGACAGCAAAAUCGAUGAGCAAUCAUGCUGCCGAGACUGCUCACGGCCUAAGGGGAAUUCUCUUCCUAGCCUAGACUAUACUCAAGCAACCUAGCUAGUUUUACAGCUCCAGCCUGAAUCCAGAGUUGGAUUUCCUGCUUGAUCACGUCCAGGAGUUGUAGUACCGUUGAUGCACGUACGUUGAUCAACACAACCGGGCGUUGCGCUCUCUCCUUCGCUCCUUGGCCUGCAGCUUCCUCGCAUGCGCCCACCAAUCCUGAAGAAGUUCUUAUCGAACACACCAUUUUUUACCUUCUAUUGCAGUAGUUCUAGUGUGGUACCUAGUUUUUUAUGCCCCUACUUGCAAUCUGGGUACAACAAUUUUUUAUAAUCAUUAAUUAUGCGCUGCAACUUUUCUAAUUUCUUCUCAGUUCUUGCAAUCUCUAUGUGUAUCUGACCAAGAUCAUCAGUAAACUCAUCUUCAUCAGCCUCGCUCAUUGUAGUAUCUGCAAAAGCUUGGCCUGCAGCCCAGUCCGGAAUGUUGUUAUCAUCCUCCUCUUCUUCGCCGUCCUCCAUUAUAACCCCUCUUUCACCGUGCUUGCAAACUCAUCUUCAUCAGCCUCGCUCAUUGUAGUAUCUGCAAAAGCUUGGUCUGUAGCCCAGUCCGGAAUGUUGUUAUCAUCCUCCUCUUCGCCGUCCUCCAUUAUAACCCUUCUUUCGCCGUGCUUGGUCCAAAUCAAAUAGUUAGGCAUAAAAACCGUAUCUAAAAAAGUGGUUGUGAAUAGUCCUCCAGGAACAGUAGUCCUUCUUGUUACUUCAUUAGAAGAUAAUGAAGCAUGAACAACAUAUGAGUUCAUUCUUUGGCUUGUUGCCUUUGGCCACUUCGAGAAAAUAAUGCAAGCCAUCAACAAACUUCUUGGUCCAUCUGUCCAUAUUAUACAUUCAUUGCCAGUCCAUCUGCAUCGUAUUACGUGAGAAAUGGAUAUAGGUCUUCGUAUUAGAUAAAGAGCUUGAUAAUAUUAGGUAGGGGAAAAUAGAGUUAACGUGAUUAUAAUAUUUGGUUCUUGCAAAAAAUAUUAGAUAAAUAAAUUAUUACGUGAGAAAUGGAUAUAGGUCUUCGUAUUGGAUAAAGAACUUGAUCAAUAUUCAUGAUUUACACCAAUCAACCUUCAUAAAGAUAAAAACAAUUCACAUGAAAACUACACCAUUUAACAUUCAUAACAUUCACAACAUUCACUAAAGAUACAUAUAAAGAUUACACUCACAACAAGAUAAUAAAGAUACAUAUACACUAAAGAUUACAGAUGCUCCAUAGUGGAGUUCACGUAGUCAGUUAUCCUAAAAUAAUGGUACAACAUAGCAGAAUGUUCGCUCUCCAAGCCAUCUCUAUACAUAACUUAAUCUUCUUCGAAGUCUAUCGAGAGUCACCUCCAUAUAUCCAGUAUCAUAAAAUAAUGGUGCAAUAGAAUAUCUUCAAGUCCACAUACUCGGGCUAAAUGUCAUAAAGAGAUCUUGAAAUAAUUGUCCAAACAUCUUUUGGAGCAAGUGCCAUAUUCUCAUAAUAAAAGUACGGUGGCACACACACAAUAGCCCGUCUAAGGAAAAGAUCUGUUCACUGAGCAUGGCCCAUGGUGGCAAGCUAAAACCAACCAAAAGCCGCUAGGUCAAGGUUAGUGAACAGAUCUUUGCCUGAAGAGGAUAUUGGGUCAACAUGCUUUUAUCAUGAAAAUUAGGCUCCAAAAGGCGUUUGGAAUACUAUUUCAAGAUUCUUUUAUGAUAUUCAGCCUGAGUUUAUGGACUCGAACCUAUCCUAUUCUACUAUUAUUUUCUAAUACUGGAGGAACGAAGGUGACUCUCUAUAGACUUCGUAGAAGAUUGUGUUAUGUGUAGAGAAUAGUGUAAGCACAUUUAUGCCAUGUGCAGACACUGUUAUGUAGGAUUGGAGGAACGGAGAUGGUACAUCCAUUGCCAGUCCAUCUGCAUCGUAUUAUAUGGAAAAUGAACAUAUGGCUUCGUAUUAUAUUAAGAACUUGAUCAAUAUUAGGUAGGGGAAAAUAGAGCAAGUGUGUUUAUAAUAUUUAGUUCUUGCAAUAAAUAUGAGAUAAAUAAAUUAUUGGUCAAAGAAAUACAAUUAUUGUUAAAUUACAGUGAUAUUAAAAAUUGUAGCAAUGACCAAAAUUCUAUUUCUUACACCUACAAUUUAUUUACCUUAAUUUUAUUGCAAUGAUUAAAUAUUAAAAACACAUUUACUCUAUUUUUUUCCCAUACCUAAUAUGGAUCAGUUUCUUUUAACUAAUACGGAUUAUAUAUAACAAGCAAACUAUCCAUCAAAUUCUAGCUCAAAAACAUGUAUAAAUAAAAAUCCUCUCAAUUCUCCCUCAUCUAAAAGACUCAUUUUACUCCCUCUCUAAAGCAUAAAACAAAACAUAAUAACAAUAAAUGAAGGGAGGAUGAAGUAGCUAACCUUCAAAACACUUUGGAUGAGUGAAAUCCCCACGGAAAUGAGAAAAACAAUUUGGGCAGCACCUCCCCUAAGGUUGCUUGCUCGCUAUGGAGAGGAGGAUGAAGCUCUUGGUCAGGUGGAGUGGCUCUGGCUGGGGGAGGAAGAAGAGUUUCUGGUUUUAUAGGGAAGGAGAUUUUAUCCCGGUUGGUAAUUCCAACCGGGACAAAAGAUCCCCCGGGACAAAAGAUCCCCUUUUGUCCCGGUUUGAAUUACCAACUGGGACUAAACCUUUUGUCCUAGUUGGAAUUACCAAUCAGGAUAAAAAGGAAGCGUCGGUGGGAUUUCUUAUAGCUAUUGCAACCGAGACUAGGAGGGGCUAUAGUCUGGUUGAUCUUUACAACCGGGACUAAAACGCCCCCCCCCCCCUCUGCGGUGGCCUUUGGUAGCACAUUUUUGAUCCGGGACUAAAGUACCUUUAGUCCCGGAUCCAAUGUUAACCAGGACAAAAACACCUAGAUGGAAGGUCAGUUCUCUACUAGUGCAACAAGCUCUGUCGUCUUCUUGUAUAGCGCUUGCAUGCGAGGAUCAAUGGUAGCAGGACUUGCAAGCUUGGCAAUAACGUUGUCGACUGUGUACCUGUCACGCCUUGCAGCCACCUCCUCGACUCUCUUGUUCAUGUCCCGGAUAGCUCCAGCGAUCUUGCGUCCUUGAUGCUUGCACUUCUUGAAGAUCUUUGCCAUCUUCUUCCGGAGACGCCUGAGCAUGCGUGCGUCAACAUGCUCAGAACCUUCGUCGAUGCGCACCAAGAAAGUGUGGACGAUGUCCUCCAUGUCGUAGGACAGCUCCCUGACAUCGUGCGCCUGACCAGCUCCUCGAGCUGGACCCAGCUUUUUGCAGAGUGGAUCUUAGAGUCGGUCAAGUAUCACUUCUUUAUUUUCUGUAUUUUGAGAAACAAAGUCAGUGAAGCAUCGAGCAAUGCGCCACGUGAAGGAGCAAUGCGCCCCUUUAUGAGCAAGUUUAAUAACCUAUCUAGCAAGCGAGCUGCAAGAUUUCUCUUAGCCAUUUCCUAACCCACUCGUACAAUGGUUAGCUUUUCACCAUUAAUACAUGGCCCACAAGUCAUUCUCACAAAGUUUCUUGGUUCCUGUACCCAAGUCAGCUGUAAGCUUAUAGCCCGCUUCUCUCUCACCUCUUCUCUCUCCUCCACGUCUGCAUUCAGCCAGCUUACAGCCUCUUAUUAUACUUGCUCUAAUACCAUCUCCAUAAACUCAUGGGGGCACACAACUCUCAGCAUUAGCAGUACCACUUGCUAGCUUCUGCUACACAAGCAAACCCAUAGGAUACACACCUGAGAGUAAUGGCGGACCUUGCAAUCGGGAUUUCCAGGACGGCGGUUCAGUUGCUGGCGGACAAAGUCAGGACCGCCAUCAAGGAGGAGGCAGAGCAGUGGCAGAUUGUGCAGCGUGAUCUCGUGUUCAUCACGGGGGAGUUCGAGAUGAUGCAGUCCUUCCUCAACGUCGCCGACGCGGAGCGCGUCAGGAACGAUGUUGUGUGGACCUGGGUGAGGCAGGUCCGCGACCUCUCCUAUGACACGGAGGACUGCAUUGAGUUCGUCCUCCAACUGGACACAAAUAAGAGGUCCUGGUGGCUCCGGCUGUUGCCGUCUUGUGGCAAGACGGAAGCAGCGCUGCCAGUGGACGAAGCCGUCGCCGAGACAACACUGCUGAGGGCUCGAGUGGUGGACGUGAGCCAGAGGAACAUACGCUACAACCUUAUUGUAGACUCUGGCUCCAAACCCAUCAAUCAGCAGGUUCAAAGGGCUGCUGCCUCCAGCACAAGUUCAUUUGACAUUCUCACCAAUGCUGUUAAGAAGACCGGCCCCUUGGAUGUUCCCGGAUUGAUCACUAGGGAAGACAAGGACCUUCAAGUGAUCUCGGUCUGCGGACCAGAAGGUGAUCUUGGGAAAGUAGCCAUCAUCAGGAAGUUGUACGGUGAUUCAAGAAUCUACAAGGAAUUUGAAUGCCGCGCCUGGGUGAAGCUUAUGGAGCCUUUUAAUGCUCAUGAGUUUUUACGGACCUUGAUGAUUCAGUUCUUCCCACACUCUUGCUGCAGCCAAGAACAACAAGAAGGAAGCAUAAAGGAGUCUGCUCAGAAAAUCAACACACAUAGGUACCUCAUCGUCCUUGAAGACCUAUAUACCAUGGCACAGUUGGAUACCAUCAGAUCCUACCUGCCGGACAUGAAGAAAGGAAGCCGGAUUGUCGUGUUAACCCACCAGCCGGUGAUCGCAAGCCUAUGCGCGGGGGAGCCGUGUCGAGUUUUUGAGCUCGUCCAGUUUUCACCAUAUCACUCUGUCCGCGUCUAUUUCAAAGAGGUAAAUCAAUAGUGUACUUUCAGAAAUUAAAAAAAAUAUUUCAUACAUGUUGCUGGUGCACCACUUUCUUCGAUUUUCUAUAUUUUUUAUUUACCAUGGGGGUUUGUAAUACAUGACACGAACAGCAGAGAUGUAACCAGAAAUAUGAGCCACUUUCUGAGCUUUUGGUUGCCCGCAUGCUCUAGCCCUUGUUUACUUCCCUCCAAACUCCCAACUUUGACACUAUGCAAAAAGAAGAUUCUCCAUCACAUCAAACUUGCGGUACAUGUAUGGAGUACUAAAUGUAGACGAAAUCAAAAAUUAAUUGCACAGUUUUGUUGUACUUUGCGAGACGAAUCUUUUGAGCCUAAUUAGUCAAUAUUUGGACAAUAAUUCACAAAUACAAAUGAAACGCUACAGUGUCGCAUUUAUGGCAAAAUGCCAAUUUGGCACCUCCCAACUUGGGAAGUAAACAAGGGCCUAGCCUGGCUGGUAUACAAAACUCACCUUCGCAUGGCUAAGAAGAGAAAGCUGUUUAGUUGCCUGCGGAAACAUUAGUUGUAUGAGAUAAAUGUGGACAAAUAAGGGUUAUUAUGAUAUUUAUUUUGUGCAUUUUUAAAUAUUUAUGGAGCAUUUAUUUUAUAAGCAUCAAUAUUAUUCCUUAAGCACAAUAAUAUCACUUGAUAUAUCCUAACAAUGCAGUAGUAGCAUCAUUAGCUAGGCAGUUGUUGACUGCAUCAAGCAAGCCAAGCUCCGCAAAAAUUUCAUGUUUCUACAAAGCCAGGCUGUCAUACCAUAGUAACAUGCAGGCAACAAAGCACUUCUGUAUUCAUCUUUUAGACCAGGCUAAGCAAAAUGCAGGUAACCAAAUUAACAUUUUCAUGAUUACACAUACCUCUUAGUGGACUCUCUCCUCUAUUGUUCAUGCUCUUAUUUUUCCAUGACUUUGUUGUACAAAUGCUGUUGGCACCCAACAAAUACAUAUAAAAACCAUAUACAAAUUCAAAAUAUGAAUUAUUGAAACCUAUGUGCAGAUUUCUAUUGUCCCCCAAUUAAUCUUCCUUUUCUUUGUGUGUGAUUGUGUGCAUCGUUUGAAAACAGUGCUAUGUCUGCUUUAGUUUUGUGCACCCGUCUGCCAGAAACAUUGCUCAAUAACUAAUGAAUAUAACUUUUCCACUGAAUCAGGGAAUUUUUCAUACAUGUCAAUUUUCCUAGCUACUAGUUUAGGUUGGCGAUCUAAUUUGACAGCCCAAAGCGGCCAAAUGUUAGUUGACAAAUCUUAUUUUCACUUUUUUUUGUUGGUGCUUUUUUUACUCGCACUUAUUGGCAUAGGUGCUUAUUUUAAUUAAAAAUAAUUAAUCCGCCCUCUCUAUUCUUCUUUCAACUUGUUUGUACAUCUGUUUCUAUAUCUGCAGGGUUACCAGCAUGAUAAACUCCAUUCCUUUAUAAAGGAAGAACCCUACCAUUUAUUGUGCAAAUAUGACCUUAUUGGACGUGACACUGAAGUGGAUGCACUUUUUGAGCAAAUCCAGGAAGGUCGUCUUAUUUCUUUGUGGGGAAUGUCUGGUGCUGGUAAAUCAGGACUCGUUUGGAACAUCUACUGCAAAUGGCGGACUAGUAAUAAUUCAUGGAAGCACGCUUGGGCUAGUGUUUCCCAUCCAUUCAAUCCCACAGACUUCUCCCGAAAUUUACUUCUGCAUUUACUUCCGAAAUCAACUUCUUCGGAGGAAAGAUAUUAUAAAGCACAUCCGGCAAAAGAUCCCAUCCAAGAAUGUCAACAUCUUCUACAUGAACAUGUGUACCUAGUUGUAAUUGAUGGUUUGCAGUUCAAGGAAGACUGGGAUUGGAUAAAAUCUAACUUGAUAGGAAGCGGAGGUUUGAGAAGUUGUAUCAUCACCAUUACUUCGGAAGAAAGUGUUGGCAAACAUUGUGUAGUAUCAUCAAACAAUGCAGUAGUGCACAAUAUCAAAGGUCUUGAAGCUGAUGCAGCCCUUGAACUGUUCAAAAAGGUGUGUUUUCUCACAAGCAUUGUUCCAUUUAGUUUCCACUUAUAUCUACUAGCAUAAUUCCUUACUGUAUCAUAGUAUUACUAACUAGAAACUCUUUUAGGUCCUCCAUAUUGAAACCUCAAUAGGCACCAUAGAAAAAUAAAUAAAUCUUAAAAAUUCUAGCAAACAAUGAAAACAUCUAGAUGUCAAUUCAGGAGACUCUAAACAUCAUGGACAAUAACAACCAAUAGAUCUAAUAUGUUUUUAUAAAUUUACCCAUUUGUGCUAUUAUAAAAAAGUAGCCUAAAGUAACCCCAAAUCUAUAUCUAAAUUACUUGCCUUAGCCAAUUAUAAAAAAUCAUCUAAAAAGUCUAUAGUACCCUAAGUCAACACAAAAAAUUACUGACCUAUUCCAUUGUGAAAAAUAAUAUAAAAUAACUCCCAAAACUUUCAUAUAAAUUUCCUAUAUAUGCCAUCAUGAAUAAUAUUAUAAUUUGACCUUCUAAACUUGUAUAAAAAUAACCCACCCUCUCCACUAUUAAGAAUCACUUAAAGUAGGAUGGUCUCUUUUCUCUUCACAUGAACUUAAAAUGUAAAAGGUUUAAUUUAGCGUGAGAGCUUAUUCGUUAGUAAAUAGAGCCAUAGCAAAUAGUGGUAGGCAAAACAAAAACCAAAGGAUUUUCGGUCACUAAUUCGGCCUUAGAGAUUAACAAACCAAAUUAAGUUUAUUUCGGCAUAUUCAGCAUUUGCUGUCAGUUAACAGAAAAACUGAAUGAACCAAAAUCACAAGUAAGAGGCCCAAUACUGCUUCUAGCAAUGCUCAUUACAAACCCUAAGUAUAUAACGUCCAACCCAAAUCACUCUCCCUCAUUUCAUUCCCUACCGAACCCAACCCGACUGCCUACCCCACUCCCAACCCUAGGCCCCCACCAAACCAUAGCGGAGGCAGGCCUUACGGCGCUCCUCCCUACAGCAAUGGCCGAUUGCAGUGACGACCCAGCACCAGUGGCUAGUGGCGCCUACUCCCUUCCAUUCGUUCCUCCAUGAUAGUGAGGAGCUGAGGAUGGCACUACAAAUGUAUCCUGGGGAGCGGCGAGGAUGGCACCUCGUCUUGCCAACGUGCUGCAGAUGGAUUCGUCUCGAUUUGUGCCUUAUCCUUCUGGAUUUGUUCUUAUUUGUGCUCAUCCUUCGUCAUGUUUAGUUUGUGAUUCAGUUGGUUUGGUCAUGAGUCACGACUGAGACCAAACCAAAGUAAUCGAGACCAAAUUGGCUUGGUGUCGAUAAUUUUUAGUAAUUGAAUAGUCUUUAUUUUUGGUUAACCGAAUUUUAGCAAAAUCCAAAGAAGCAAACCGAUCAGUCUCGGUAAACUGAAUGCCCACCCUUGGUAGGGAAGGCUAAUGUUGUGAAAGAGAAAGUGUUGUAGCAAGUCAUUCCAUACCGGAAUGUGUGCUCAAUUCCUGUUUCCUUUAUUUCAAAUUUAUAUUACUUAGUUUGAGUAUAGUUUAAAUUUAUACUGCUUACGUGGUCUUAAAUAGGUGCUGGAGGAGAAUGCAUGCUAUCUGGGACGGCGUAUGGUAAAUACAGCAGACCUUUUUAUCUUGUCCAAGUGUGGCGGGCUUCCCAAAGUGAUAGUUACUUUGGCAAGAUACUUGGCCAGCAGACCAAGCAAAGACGUACUCGAGCAGGAGAUGAGGCGUCUGAGUGACAACUUUAUGCACGAGCUAGAGACCAACCCAGAGUUUGAUUCCUUACGUGGCAUACUUGCCUGGAUGCAUUCUUACUUGCAUGCUUGCCCUCGGCAUCUCAAGAAAUGCAUGCUUUAUCUAUCGGUCUUUCCUCAAGACAGGAUCAUCCGGAGGAGGCGUUUGGUGUGGCGGUGGAUCGCGGAGGGCUACUCAAAGGGCACCGACAGCAUUAGCAUGGAGAAGUACGCGGAGAAGCUUUUUGACGAGGUUUCUGCACUGAGCAUCAUUCAGCCAGUACUGAAGGCAAGUAAGGUUAUUGGGUACCGAGUCAAUGGUUUCUUCCGCGAGUAUAUCAUCUCGCGGCCGGUGGAAGAGAGAGUUUUCUUUCCAGUGGAAGUCUCUGCACUGGGGCGCGGGCAUGGCCGGCUGACCACAGAAGGCAUAGGACAGCACCUAGCUGUUGGGGAUUCCUGGGAUGUUGACCGGGUUGUGUUCGAGGGUUUGGACUUCUCACGGCUACGGUCUUUGACAGUGUUUAGAACAGUGUUUUGGCCAUGGUACGUCCCGGACAGGAUGAGGGUGCUUCGGGUGCUGGAUCUAGAGAAUGCAGAGUAUGUAAGUAAUUAUGCCUUUGAGAAGAUUAUGAAGCUGCUGCCUCGUCUGAAGUUCCUCUCGCUAAGAGGACAGAGGGAAGUCUCGCGAGUGCCAGAUUCCGUGGGUGAGCUGAUGCAGCUGCAAACUCUGGAUAUCAGAGACACCUCUAUAGUCGCGCUACCACCAUGCAUCACCCGGCUACAGAAGCUGCAGUACAUUCGUGCAGGUACCACCAUAGCGUUCACGCAAGAUGACAGCUUGUCUGCGGGGGAGCAUUCGACUCCAUUGAGUAGGAGGUCAAACGCUAUGGCGUCCCGCUUGCUUGCCAGAUUCAGCAGACGUGGACCUGAUGGCUCUUGCAGGAAUGGUGUUGAGGUGCCAAGAGGGAUCGAGAGACUGAAAGCCUUGCGGACGCUUGGUGCUAUUGAUGUAAAUACUGCAGGGGAUGCCACUCUUAGUGAGAUCCGUUCCCUCUUUCGCCAGUUGAAGAAACUCGAAUUAUUCAUGAUCAACCGUAAAAUCAGCGGAUGGUUUUUGUCGCAUUUAUUUGUGGCACAGCAUUUGGAAUCAUUGUCUAUGCAGUUUGAGAAGAGCGAUCAUUUUGUUCAUUGGGACUACAUCUCCCUUCCCAGAAGCCUACGGAGCCUAAAGAUGCACGGCCAUGUAGAGCAGCUGCCACGAGGUAUCGAGUAUCUUGGUAAUCUCUUGAAGCUGACUUUAGAGAAGACUACACUGUUCACACCAGAUGACAUAGAGGUCAUCGGGACAUUACGAAGUCUGCGUACUCUGCGCCUCCGUGUCAAUAAAGAUCAAGAUGGCGAGCUCCAAUAUCACUCUAGCCUUUUCAGCAAACUCGAGGUCCUCGAGAUUGUCUGCAAAUCGAAGUUACGUGUAAGGUUUGACAUUGAUGCAAUGGAAAAGCUUGAGCAGCUGAAGAUUCACUGCCUUCAGGGGUCGGAGAUGCAGUUCUCUGGGUUAGAGCACCUGUUUUCCCUCAAGCAAGUCUGGCUUAUGGGUUCCAUCGACGACGCACUCAAGGUAGCAUUGGAGCAGCAACUUGUCAAGCAUCUGAAGAAACCUGCUCCGAAACUGGAGGUUGAGCCACGUUCGUCCCAGGAGUCGUCCGAGGAGUCGAACUAAGGUAUGUAGGCAAUUGUUUCUGUUGUAUGCCUGCCAUUCGUACUUCCUUUCUUCUAUUACUCUAUCUAAACCUAGCAUCCGGUUUACCACAGGGAAGUCCGACACUCCAACUUGCAGGUUUGGAAGAGGACACGCUAGCUGAUCAUCCUAAGAAAUCAGUUUUGAAGCUGCAGGGAGCCAUGUUCUAUCCUGAUGGCCUGGCGGGUAUUUACUGAAGUUCGAGAUGCUGACUGCCAGCCGUCGCCCAAUCCAGUAUUCUCAGCCGAGAAGGAUUAGCUCCAAGUCUCUUAAAUGGGUCGUGUAAUUAACUGUCUCUUACUGUCAUUAGUAGAAACCAUUACCUGUUUUUUACCUCGAAAGCGUAGUAGAGCUGUGUAUCAUUAUAAUAAAGAAGCAGAAAACAAUACUGUAUGCUAAUGAACCCACUGAAAUUUUAUAUUGGUCUAUAUGUACCAAUAAGGCUUUGUGUCUCGUGUACAUGCACGAAAAGGUAUGUGAGAAGAGCAUCGAUAUCAACUUAAUUUGCUACACCCUAUUGUGAUGGCUGGUGUGUAAACGAAAAUCUGAGAAAUACUUGCUGUUUGUCAAACAGGUGUUUUUUUCCGCCCUGGGGGGCUGCUGUUGGCGCCAACUGGUGCAGAACAAUCGCGGUAUGAAAUCUUGACCAACAGCAGCUAGAAUAAACAAGUACUAUCUUCGAGCAACCGGAAAUUGAUUCACUAUUGCAAGACAGAGACACUUCAAAAGCAUUGGCUGUACUGUAGCAGGCAAGGACCAAGCAAAGAACCUGCAGUACCACUAAGCAAAGAUUAAAUUGAGCUGCACUAUUGCAUUGCACCCGUUGUCAGUCUCAUGGCCAUGGAGAAAAGAACAGAGCUGCUCACAUUACAGAACUGAAUGAGCAGUCGAGCUGCAAAGCAAAACAGAGAAGUACUGAACCAUUGCUACUGCUGACAGACGUGCAUAGACAAGGAUUAAACAAGUGCUCAUGCAUUCUGACAUUUAUUAGUUCAUCGAUUAACUCAUCAACUACUAAACUGAUCAGGCACACACGGUCAAAAGCAUGCAUGCAAUGAUUAGUUCCUGUAGCUUGAAAGUGACACGCCUGAAUCUAAACAACUAUCUCUGAAUAAUGGCCAAACCUUGCUUCUGCUGUCAGGGCUGGGCUGGUCGCUGCUGCUGAUCUGCUCGACCGGGCCGGCUUGCUCCGCACCGCCAACUGGGCCUAGCGUGGCCUGCCUGAGCUGCUCUGGGCCGGCGUGCCUGCCUGGGCUGGCGUGCAGCUUGCCUCGCCUGGUCCGUGAGUGCCGGCCUGUGGAGCCCAGCGCAGCAGCGUCGCGCUUGGCGCGCGUGCCGCACGCGUGCCUCUGCCCGAUAGAAGAACAGAGACGAACAGAGCAACAACAUUACGAACAAAGCUCAACUUUGAAUCAAAAGUCCUCUCUCGAAACUCCACGGAUCCAAAUGAAACUUGAUCCAUAGAAGCAAAACCUCAAAGGUUAACAGAUCCAUGAAAGAGAUUUUGAAAAUCUCAAGUAUUCAUGGUGGAUUUAGGAGAAAACCGAAUGCCCUCCACGAAUAACACGGUUUGGAAAAACUCAAAUUCAAAUCAAAUUCAUGAGUGAUUUGAGGGAGGUCACAUCAAAAUUGCUCACAAAGGUCCUAGCAACAAAUUUCCCCAACAAACUUUGUGGAUUUGGAUUCAUACAUGAAGAACAAAAAUUCCAACGAAAAUGCUCAAAAAAAUCCGAAAAAGAUAAAUUUCAGAUUCAAAGAGUAUGGAACAAGAUAGUAUAAAAUUGAUCUUUGAAUUAUUUCACCAUAUUCGGAUACAAACCACUCCAAAGCACAAUCAAAAUUAGAAUGGCAAAAAGAUCAACACAAAGAUCUACUCAUCUCUCUCCCUCUCUCACACCUAAAGGCUCCAUCAAAUGAGAAGCCCACCACCAAAGAGAUGCCCAACAACCUUCUCUCUAUAUAUAGACAUCUGGAACCCUUACAUGAACCACACAAUUCAAAUAUCCCCAGGGGUAAAAUCAUCCAACUUUUUCCUCAUACAUCGGACGGACCCGACGCCUUCACGACUUAGCUUCGCCUCGACGCAAGCUUCGUGAUGAUGCCACACGUCCUCUGACUCGACGAUGUCCAGCCGCACCGGACUCAUCCUUCGGUUUUGAGUUCAAACUGGUCAAACCUCUUGCACACCCCGCAGGUGUGACUCAGACCCGGUUUUGAGGUCAAACUGGUCAAAGCCUCUUGCACGCCGCACCUAACGUGACUCAUCGAUGUCGACGUGUCCGGCCUCCGCCAAGCAAGAGUACACGGAUGGGAUGGAGACAGCGUGUACUCUGGCUUAAUCCCUCACUUAGUUGAUGAUGGCCUAUCUAUCCUCCAAUAUGCAGAUGCAUUGACCUGCUCUGACCAGAGUGCACCCCGACGUGGGUAGGUUUCGUAGCUUGAAGGUUCUCAACUGGUGACGGUGUGCCCUGCAGUUGAGAGCGGUUCCAGACUCAAGAAAACAGGAGAGUACUAUCCACUUACUAGGGCUCCGACCGUUAGGUGGGGUUUGGACGGAUCGCUAUCGUUCAGGCUCCAUCUGUGUGGGUACAGUUGUACAACCUCCGCGGAGUGUGUAAACCUAUAGCUAUAGUUUGUGUCCACUGGUUAUGAAUAGUGCUGUUGACUACCGCUACUUCUGACUAGACUUUAUUUAUACUUCUACCUUCCCUUUUUGAGAUAGGCCGGCGUUUGCCGUUGAGAUGUGAGGGGAGAGAGCUCUCACAUCGCCUAAUAUGUAUGGGUGCUGGAUUCUUGGGUAAAGGAUCUGGUGGUUUGUGACGACUUCCUUGUUGUGAGGUGUUGACCUCGAAGAUGGUAUUACUAUGAUGCAUUCUUGAUCGAUGCUGCUGCAUAAACCUCUACAGCCAUAUAUAGGUUUAUCCAUACAUAUAGUAUUAUUCCCCCCGUUUCCUUGGCUUGCUACUAUUGAGAAUUGACAUGGCCUACCCGCUUCUCGGGUAGAUGGUGGCUUUUCAGGAUCGAAGCCGAUUACGACUUCGACAACGACGAAUGGGAAGACUAGGGAUAGUCCCUCGCUCAAGUCACCUCUGGAGAUGGUGUUCGCUAUAGCUUAUGUUUCCGCUGCAUAGAUGUUUUACCUUUCAUGAUUCAGUCCUGAUGGACCUGUACUGGCAUGUGCCAAAGUGAUGUAUUUGAUAUUUAUAAUAUUAUUACUCUAUUGCUACUCUAUAUUUCUAUGUUGGUAUGGAUUUGUACUAUCAGAGAUAGGUAUUUGCACGUGAUAGCCUUUCUGAGACUAUCACGGAGAUGCGUAAGCUUGAAUUUAAUGGGAAUUUGGGUCGUUUCAGGACGUGGGCGAUUUCGAUAUCCGCCGGCCUUUCCUUUUUUUCUCUUUUUAGAAAAACACCAGCCCGUCUUUGCAAGUGUCUUGCGUGAGUGUGGGCAUCUACGUUGGUACGAUGUUUUAAAAGCCUCAUCGACUGAAGUGAAAUGUUACGAGGCUGGAAAGAAGAUCGGCGGCAGCCCGAGACAUGGAGCGGAGUAGAUAGGCUCGGCCCAGGAAAAAAGGGAUAGCGGGCUGAAUUGCUCAAAUGAAAAUUCAGACCUUACAUGAUUACAUGCAACAUGAAAAUCAACAGACAUAUAAUUCACAGAUAGAAAGUUCUGUGGAAAUGUGGAUAUAUUACAACACUACCAUCUUAUUUUACUUCCAGAAAUUUAAAAAUCUCAACAGAAAUAUAUCACUACAAGAGGCGUCAGCUAGCCUAGUUACUUCCACAUGGCUCGCGGAUAUUUCAACUCAAAACAUCACAAAAGGAAAUACAAGAACCUGCCAAGUCAAUACUGCCAACAAAGUAUUCAAGAUAGCAUCAUUAAGAUCAAACAAGAUAUUCAAGAUAGCAAGAUUAAGAUCAAACAAGCAAGCUUGCAAUUAACCUCUCCCCAACUAGAGACACCACGCCCAAUUGAUUCCAAGCUAACUGAAUAAGUCCAUAACAGACGGUACAUGCUACUUGCUACCUCAAGGUUCAUCAAUGGUUUUACAAACUGAGCACACACAAUCAGCCCAAAGUCAGCAUUACAGAUGCCAGUAGGCCACCAUAGUACGAUCCAACAAGUACUGAUACACUUCGCAGCUUAUCUGAUAUUGGAGACCACUAUACUGAGGUCAGAUAAGGUCGAUCUCACAUAUUUAGCAGCUAGCUCAGCAAGAGCUUCACUUCAGUUCUGCGGGAAGAGCCAUGUCGCAAACACCGUGCCACGCUUCCAUGACACCGUCGGCAGAGGGGUGGAGACCUUGCCGUCCCUCAUGCUGUAGACACUGCAAGAGCUUGAGGUCGCCUUAGACCAACCGUGAUCCUCAUCGUCAUUCUCCAGGAAGAAGAUGCAAUCCCUCGGCACCUCCUCAUGAGAGACACAAGCAGAUCUGCAGCACCGUCGACGUAAAAACAAAACCCGGUCAUCCCCUACUGUCAUCACCUUGGUCCACUGUGACUGCCUCAAACUGGCUUUAAACACCUCAAUCUCAUUCUGUUCAGAUGCAGCGGAUUCAGGGAGAGCUCCUCCUGUCUCUCCUUCUGCCAACUUUCGCAACACCACCAGCAACACACCACGCGAUUCAACUAGAUAGGUCAUCUUUGUAACCAGUGGAAUUGAGAAAGGCGGAUCGUCGAUGAUCUUUCGCAUUUCAGAAACCCAUGGGUUGCCCGUGCUGCUGUCCACACUGAUGUCGAUGGCAAAUAGUAUACCCAGGAUAGUA